This 59148-nucleotide long non-coding RNA is filed under the name Sorghum bicolor (sorghum). RNAcentral describes it as "long non-coding RNA (SBIC_LNC005040)". The stretch from base 53162 to 53268 matches the Rfam family "Plant small nucleolar RNA R71". Lineage: Eukaryota; Viridiplantae; Streptophyta; Magnoliopsida; Poales; Poaceae. The record is from RNAcentral.
UCACCCUACUCUAAUAAGGCUUUAAUAUCUGGAGCUCAUAGGUGGGAGAUAAAAUAUACAUACUCACAAGACAUUUAUUGUAUAGUCAAACCAUGGAUCCAAAGAAACAAAUCAAUAAGUCAAAUCAAGAUGUGCAUGUGUGGCGAAUGAAUGGUGUAUGGUGAUGAUGGUGAUAACAAUGGUGAAAGUCUAAUUCUACUUUUGCUCUUUUGAGGGGAUACAUACCUUCCUUGCUUUUUUGAAAUUUUAUGAGGAGAAUGAGAUGCUCUUCUUUUUCUUUUCUCUCAGGUGGGUAUCUUGUACCCCUAAUUCUACUGUUGGACACUUGUCCAUUUUUACCUCUCGUCUCACUCUUUCUUUUCUUUCGAGGUUUCGGGCACUUGCCCCUUUUUAUUUCCUCGUAUCUCUCUCUCUUUUUUUAGAGCACUCAUCUCUUGAGAUAAUAUAGCAAGUGGUAGUAACAAGAUAACUUGAGCAUUUAUUUCACAAGGGAAAAACAGAAAUGUUUUUGGCUAUUCUCUCCUGGAUUAGGAGUAGAAUAUUUUUUGGGUGGUUCUGGAGAUGGAAAUGGGUGGAUAUAUGUGGAUGGUUGUAACAUCCCCGAUGUUGUGGUUACUAAAAAUUUGAAGCAUGACAUCAUCAGCAUUGUACAGCAUAUUUAUUGAGCACACCCUGAUGCAUUAACUUAAAACAAGUUUAAUUUGGUUGAAUGUGCUUAGAGAACUAAAGUGUGUUUAUAUUGUGUUUGGAUGCUUGAGUUGGUUGCUAAAACCCUAGGGUGAAAGAUUUCCGAAAGAGUAGGGGGGAAACCCUGAUUUUUGAACCUUAGAUUUGCCCCCUUUUUCACAAUUUAAAAACCAAGCAAAAUUUGAGGUUGAGUUCAAAAGCAAAGUUGUAGAUCUUGUUAAGAUGUACAACUUUGGUGUUUUGAGUUUUUGAAGUUUCAAUACAAAAUUCAAAGUAAUUUUGAAAAUACAGAUUUCCAGAAAGUGUCCACUUUUCCAAUUUGAACCUCCAAUUCAAAAUCUAUUUGGAAUUUUGAAAAGUGACCAACAUGAAAGUUGUAGAGCUCAAAAAGUUGAACAACUUUCAUGUUGGGAGUUUUUCAAGUUGUUUAGGAAAAUCAAAAGUAAUUUUGGAAAUUCUGAUCUGCCCAAUUCAAAAAUUUCAAUUUCCCCAAAUUGGAUUUUGAACUUCAAACUGUUUGGUCAAAAUCACCAUUUUCCACUCAAAAUUAGCUCUGGUCACCAAAAUAUGAUUUGUAGCUUAUAAAAGUUUGCACAACUUUCAUUUUGGUGGCAAUUUGGCUUUAGUUCAAGUUUUGGCCGAAUUUCACAAAAAGACAGAAAGGGAGGAUAAGGGCCAGCUACAGUGAUCCGAUGAGGAUCACCGGCCCCUGUCCAGCGCGGCCACCGCGCGUGCAGCGCCGCGUACGCGCGUGCAAGCACGCAGCCUGCCUGCCUGCUAGCGUCGCGAGGCAACGUGGACGCUGGACGUCUCCUCCGUUCGCGUUAUAAGCCUCUCUACCGGCCAACAUGCUCCUUUUGUUUCCAUCGCGCCCGACGCCGGUGAGCUUCGUUGCCCUCAAAAUUCACCCUGCCCACUCCCUUUCUGAGCCACCUUAGCACACCAGCAGCUCCGCCCUGAGCUCCGCCAUCGAUUGCGCCCCCGAGUGCAAGCUCUACCCUACCGUAGCUCCAACCCGAGCUGUUCCCCUCUCCAACUCCGGCCGAAGCGCCGCCGCAAGCACCUUACCGCGGCCAGCUCUUCUCCAAGCCUUUCCAUCGUCGCUCUUUGCUCCGUUGAAGUCGCGGUGAGCCCCUGAAGCUUAUGCGUUGGUUGGUUCACGUUCUAACCACUUGUGACGGCCGGUGCUCGCGCGGUUAGUGCCGCCGUCCGCCGUGGACGCGAGCAAGGGAGAUUGAGGGGGGUAACGCGUGGCCCGAGCACCGCAUGAGAUGCGUAGGGGGCUGAGGAUGCUGGCCUGCCCUAUCGCGGAGGCCGGGAGCCCACCGGUAGGGAGCUGGAGCUCGCCGGAGCCGUGGCGGGAGGUAGGGGAAGCAUCUGACGGGCGGGUCCCGCCCGUCAGUGACCUCGCGAGUGGGUGGAGUGCGCGCGCAGCUGGAGCGCAUGGGCCGAGCGCUUGGGCCGCGCGCAUGGGCCGAGCACGCGGGCCGAACACAGCACAGUGUGGUUUCUCCUUUUCCUUUUUGUUUAAAAAUGCUUGGAAUUUGAAAUUAUGUAGAAAAGUGGGUAUUGAUCCAAAAAUCAUGAAACUUUUUGUAUAGAUUCCAUAAAAUGAAUAGAACAUAGGAAAAAUAUUAGGUACCAUUUUCUGGUAGUUUGCAUGUGUAUGAAAAUUGCCUCUUUUAAUUAGUAAAUAAAAUUUCUAUGAAUUUUAAUAAUUUAUUAAUAUGUCCAAAAAUCACCAAAAUUUGUGGGAUGCCUCUGAAUAUUAUUCCCUGGAUCCACACAAAAUUUGGUGGCAUUUGGAUAAUGUUUGAAUAAAAUAUUAUUAAACCCUUAAUUAGUAAUUAAAUAAUAAUUCUAGAAUACUUAAAUAAGAAUUAGUUAAAUCCUCAAAAUUAGGAUUUGAGUGACUUUGGGAUUAUGUGUUGACCUGAGGUCAUUAACCUUAAUGACCUUUGGCAUUUAAGUAUUGUUUGGCCUUAAUGCUUAAUUACUGUUAUUAAUAUUUAAUUAAGAAUUAAUUAAGAUAAAAGGAUUAAUAAUUAGUUAAUUUAAGAUAAUCAUGAAUUGAGAGAAGUCCUAAUUUACAGAUACAACCUCUUGGGUAAAGACACUAAGAUGCUAAACAACUUUAAUUAUUGUUUAGUCUAGGUUGCACCGAGAAGGCAAGUUGUACUCGACUUGGUCCUUCUUGCAUAUUUGUCAUACGCAUAUCAUGAGCAUUCAUUAUUUUGCGUAUAGUGUCCGUGACCGAAGGAGCGACCGUUGAACCGAACCCCGAGGUCGGUGCUCCGUUCGAGGAAGUAGGAUCCGAGACAUGGGAAGUCUCCGAGGGUCCCUCUCUGCCCUGCAACCAAGGCAAGCCCCGGAUGCAUUAGCCCCUCCUUGAAUGUUUUAAAGCUUUUAUCACUUAUGAAAUGAAAUGCUGCAUUAGGUAGUUGAGAAUUGGGUUAACCUACUUGCUGCAUUUACUACCUUGGUAUUUGUUAUCUUGUCCUUGGCACCUGUUUUAUUUUAAAAACUGCGUAGUGAUGCUUAGCCCUGCUACUAGAUAGGUUUUCAAACAAGAAAGUUUGAAGGGUUGUUGUGGAAUACACUUAUGAUCAAUGAUGUUUCAACUUGAGACCGGUCGGUGGACUUGCUUUAAGAAUAGAGUCUUAAAGUAGUGUCUCCAACUGUGUCGAUUAAGGACCGUUCCGUUGAUGGCCUGCUGGGUUUUGAAUUUAUAGUACUAGCCACUUGCCCUCGGUAAGCCCGGUCUUGUGAUCCCUCGACGCGAACAGCUACUCGCGCACUGGGCGUGGAGCAAUGGCGAGAGUAGUGUGUACCCACCUUACGGAUCUGAGAUGGCCGGGAAACAUCUAGAUCGGCUGUAGGAUGGUGGAGUACUAUGCUCUCGGGUGCCGCGAACCUGGUCAAAUUUGGGGAGAACUUGAUUUGGGUUGACAUAUGCAAGAUUUGGUUCUCCAUAUGUCGGGUGGUUAGGAACUCCAGCUGGAUUGCUAAGCGAUUAGAAUCGUCGUUGCUCCCCGAUUGGGAGACUCAAUUCCUUCGACCCUCAUCGUAGAUAAUUAUGCAACUAAGUGAUAAAACGAGAAAGGGAAAAUGUCUCAUGAGGUUCGGAUCCAAAUUUCUGGACUCAGAGUGACAUGAAGCUAUGGCCGUUGGAUGUAUAAUACUUUAAUUUAGGACUAGGAACUCACAGACUUGUCUGUGGGAGGCAACUAGAUAGACUGUCUUUGAACUCCUCAGCCUCUUCAGGAGAGGAAUUCACGGGUAAAACUUGAAAGUAAGGAUGCACUAUUAGUAAGCUUUUUGGCAAAACACUUUGGCUCCUUGCUCAGCCACUCCUUGUCUACCCUAAGCCUGCAUUCCUAAUUUCUCCUCUUUUUCUACCGGGUAAGUCUUGUUGAGUACUCCCGUACUCAGGGUUUCAUAACCCCUGUUGCAGGUGAAGCUCAGGAGCCGACUUGUUUCGGACCCUGUUGUGUGACCGUCGUCGAGGUUGACGACGAAGAAGAGUGAGCGUGACCCAUGGGCAGGGUCUGUAAAUUUGUAAGCUGUGUACUAAAGUUUAAGUUGCUCCGCUGGACCUGGUUUGUAAUAACACUCUGCUAUUUGGAAGAACUCCUUUUGUAAAAUAAGUUAUGUAAUACUUCCGCUGUUUUACUUUGAAAUAUUAUUUUGGUCUUGUGUCGUCUGUGAUACUGCAAUGUCUUCGCAACGAAUGAUCCUGGUGUUAAGGUGGCCACUUGCUAUCAUGUAAGGGCGAGGAGAAGAAAUUUUCGUUAAUUGACCAUCGCUGGUGGUCAGGACGAGCCUGUUUGAUACGCCCCAGGUAGCGGUGGAAUGAGCGUCCUGAGAUGCUUAUUGGACUUCUAAAGUGGAAGGAUCCCCGGCAUCACCGUCAGAGGUCUUUGGGACAAUGACAGGUGUCGGUGGGCCCAAACACUUAGGGGGUUCUGCCACAGCUGGUAUCAGAGCCAUUCGUUGCUAAAAUGACUGUUGUAUCCUUUAGAAAACUUCAAAAUCCUUUGGAUCUAAUGCUAUAAACUAGCCUAUUUUGAGUCCAAGUGCUUUAGUCCUAACUUACCCCUGUCGGUAGGCCUUUUUAUAAUUUUUGAAGUGGGUUGGAGGAGCAAUAUUAAGUAUUGCCCUAGGUUGUAAAAAAAUUUCAAGUAAUACCGUUAUGAAUUGUUGAUAGGAAUCGUAAGUUCGUGCAUGCAUCAUGAUCUAUUACUUGAUUAAAUUCCUUCCUCUUUUGUUUGGGUUGGGUUGUAUAGAAUCAAUCCCCUUCUUGCUAACCCGUAAGGUCUCUCUUACUAAUCCAAACUUACCCUCUACAGGAUGGGCCGCUGGAAACAGACCCCGCGCAAGAGGACAGGUCCAAAAGGGGUCCCCAAACACCAGAUGGCCCCGCGAAGCGAUCAAGCAAGCAGUAGCCGUUCAUCGCCUCAGCAGGAGGUGGAAAGAUUGUCCGCCGAGCUGACUGAAGUGAUGAGAGAAAGGAUGUACAACGUCAUGGAGAUCGGCGAACUUAAAGCUCAGCUAGCCAAAGAAAAACAAGCCACAGAGAACUGUGAGGCCAUGCUGUCCCGUAUGGUGGAGGAGAGGAAUGCCGCUAUUGCCCGAGAAGAAGAGGCCAGGAGUGCACACAGGCACGAGCUAACCAGGAUGAAGGCAAAGCUGGACAAAACCAAGUACUUAAAGAUCUGUAUGUGAAGAUGAUGGCCACGGUCACCGCACAGCGGGAUGUCGAGUGGCAGCGGGAGGACCAGCUCCAGUUGGAGAAGCUUGAGCUGGCACAUCAUUUAGACAACGUCAACGACUUGGCAAUGCAAUAUCGUGAUGUUGCAUUCGACCUAUAUCACCAGCUCCAUCCACCUUCAGGCGAAGGAUAGAUGGAUACGGACGGAGAGUUGGCGGACGAUGGGGAACCCGACCAAGGCCUCAGUGAUGAGGAGGAGUCUGACUCCGGUGAUGACAACCCGGGGGGUAAUCAUGACGAUGGCGAUGACGACCCGGGCUAUAGCUCUGGCCACACCGACUAGUUCGGUGAAACCGCGGGCAACGUCAUUGUAGGAUUCCUAGUUUACCGUGGUGGCUGUCACAGAACCGACCAAAUUAUAAGAGUUCAAGUGCAGAAAUGAUCGUCAAACAAUCAAGUUUCUAAACUUGAGCCCAUAUAAUCCCGGUAGUCAAUCGAAAUCACAAAGGACUUCAAACCAACUCGCAACAAACCAAGAUCGUAAUAGUUCAGCAUAAACACAACGAUUGUUACAUAGUCAUUCAUUGCCGACAAAGCGGCACCACAUCGGAGUCAUUAAGUUAUUACAACCCAAGUUUGAAGUAGCGGAAGCAAAAUAGUUACACACAUCCGUUCAAAGUUCAGUUCACAAGUUUUGUUACUGCCAGAGUCUAGGUCAUCCUUCCAAAAGCAUCAUAGACGAGAAGAGUAGAGAACCGUGCCCAACGGUUAGUCCUCAUCCCCAGUGGGAUGGAGACAGGUCUUGCAGAAACCGUCAUAGAAGAUAUCAUCUGCAACAGGUGGGAGUAAACCCUGAGUACGAGGAUGUACUCAGCUAGACUUACCCGUCUAGUAAAACACAAAAGACGCCAGGGAUUCACAUCGGCCGAUGAACGAACCAAGUUCAUUAGUGAAUGCUACGUUUGCCGCUGCUCUGUCAAGUUCUCACUAACCGGGAGAGACGGCGAUUCGAAUCGAAUUCCUAUCCAGCUGGAGGAUUAUUCCUAGCACUCACCCAGGCAUCCCCUGCCGGAGAGCCAAAGGGUCACCUUUGGUACGACUCAGGAAUCGCGGCUCCGAUCAGCGCCGCACUCCCAGGGCUACCACUCUGCCAGGGAGGUCAGGAAUUUUAACUCACCUGCCUUUGGACUUACGCCAAUGGUCCCCCGCACACCGCACUUCCUCCGGUAGUGCGCACUUUAUACUUGCCGGUCUUCCGGCCUGAGUCAUACUACUCGGCUUCGCGGUCGGAACGAGUUAUCCGGCCAACUAAGUGUCAGGCAUGCGUUCAACAUGACAAGAGGACGUACAACGAUCGGUCCUUAGCUGCCACAGACGGAGUUACUACACACUUGCAAAAUUCCGCCCGGCUUAAGUCAGUUUAACCAGGUUCCAUCCACGAUAGCACAUAUAGACCAUCGUGACCCGACACAACCCUAUAUCGCGCGGAUGACAGAAUAUCACCCGACUUCUACCGAUUAAAGCAUAGCUAAGCUGCUACUCGAACCUAACUCUACAACCAGGGAGGGUGAGUUAUCUGGACAAGGAUAGAGUAGAAUGCAGCAACAGUUUCAUCACAACUCCUAUACGUAAUGCAUCAAUAGAUAUAACGUAUUAAGUAAACUUUUCGGAAAUAAGGGGAGACUUAGAAUGCUCCGGGGCUUGCCUUUCACGAACGAUGCCGGCUCGUGAUUCGGGCACUCAACUUCUUCUUCGGGCUCCUCGAGUCCGGCUUGCUGGACCUCCACUUCCUGGCUGCCCUCCUGACCUUCGGGAUUCGCUUGGAGCUCGAAGGAAACUGCCACGUCCGGUGCACCUAUUGCAUGCUCGAUGAAUGAGAAGGUGCACAUGCUACAGAUGAAUGCUUAAUAACACAAGCAACUCACUGGACACUCAUUUACGGAGCAAGAGUUAUACUAACUCACAUGAAUAAACAAGUUAACAUAACCCAAAACCUAUCAUGACACUAAAGCAGCAAACGACACAAAACAAGUAUGCUCACUAAAUAAAUCAUAAUUAUAGAUAGACAGGUCCAACAAACAUGAGUAAGGACAUUCUGGAAAGCUUACGAAAUUGUCUACAAUUAAUCUUUAAACAUGACAGCAAGAUUCAUACAUGAAACUGGUCAUUUAAACAAAGUUCCAAGUUCUGUCCCAGAAAAACAGAGAACACCUAUUUCUGGAACCCAACUUGGAACAUCUAUAACUUUUAAACUACUUGGCCAAAUGACUUCAAAUUUAAACCACAGCUGGCUCUAUAAGUUUAGAACAACUUUGAUUUAGACAAGUUUCACAGAAAGUCAAGUUAUCAUCAAGCAAAGUUAAAUUGCUCACUUGCUGUCCAGAACAGCAUUUAACCCUAUAGUUAAUUAUUUAAUGACAUGAUCAAAACACAAACCAUGCCAACCAUAUGACUCAUGAGCACAAACAUAUUACAAGGUCACCAGAUCAUCAGUUGAAAACCCCAAAACAAUUACUCAACAAGGCAUUUAUUAAUUAACUUUAGAUAAGGCAUAUUUACAAGAUAUUAGUUAAAGUGCUCAGAAAAAUCUACAAAAAUUACAGAGGCACAAGUAUAACAUCCGAUCACGACCAGAAAAAUUUCAGGACCAAUGCACAUGCCAAAUUAAAGAUAUGCAUUUAACAUGUAUCAAGGCAUUUAUUUCAUAAAUUCAUAAACAUGACUUAUAUAGUGUCAAACAACAGAUUUCAGAUUAUUUACAUCUUAGGAAUACCAUAAACAAGUUUACCACCAAAAUAGAGCACUAGCAUAAACACCAAUUAUUUUAUGUGAUUUAAUUAAAGAAACAAGCCAUAUUUCAAACACAAAUUACAUAUCACAACAACAGUGCUCCAAAAAUCAUGAAAUAAUUAUCAGAGCACUCCAAUGCCAUGCAGAGACCACCAUAAAAUUUUCAAAGCAAACUAAGCAGUAUAACAAGAGAUAUGCCUUUAUCCAUAAAUAACAAGAUUAAAUCCUUAAUAAAUAAUUUCUCAGAAAACAUGAUUCAUUUUAUAUUUUUAUUAAAUACUAGCCAUCUCAAGAAAGACCACAAAAUUUGUUUCACAAUUUUUGGAUCUCAGAAACAGGAGAUAUGAUUUUUGCAAGAAAGCCAAAAAUCAGGAUUUUGAAUAAAAGAAAAGGAGGGAAAGAGAGAGUCGCUGACAGUGGGUCCCAUCUGUCAGGCUCUUCUUCCUCACGGCCGAGGCGAUCUUCGCCGGCGAUUUCUCCGCGACGGCGAGGUCUCCGGCCAAACCCAGGGCAUCAACGUGAUCCCCGAACCCUAACGGCUCGAUUGACCCCACUUUUGCCACGGCGGAGCCACCGGAAGGGGCUCACCGUCGGCAAUGGCGGCUCGGCGGAGGUGCCCGGCGUUACGCCGGAGCCCUCAGGCCGGUAGAGCGCGACCUAAGGCCUUCUACAGCACCAACGGACUACGGCGAAGCUUCCUAGGUACGCGGCUUGGCCUGGAUCCCCGUGGAAAGCACUGGCCACGAGAGCACCCAACUCCGGCGGAAGCACAGCGCUCUGCACUGGCCUAUUUUCAUAAGUAUGACUUACAAGCAUAUUUUGGAAUAGUGACCAACAUGAACAUUGUUCCCAAGAUCAAGUUAAACAUAGAUAAACUAAUUACCAAGACAUUAAGCACAAACACAAGCAUUGUUCACUCAAACAUAAGCAUAGGAAGCCUAUUUAAUCAAUUUAAACCAAUCUUUGCAAAGAAUGACAUGUCUCAAGAUAGAUGAUGAUCAUGGAUGCUUUGAAAAAUGAUGAUGCUCAUGCCAUGCACAUGCUUGAUGCAACCAUAACACUGGGGUGUUACAACCCUCCCCCCUUACAAAAAUCUCGUCCCGAGAUUUGAAAGCUUACUGAUUUUCGAAGAAGGUUUUGUAAACUUCUUUCAAAUAAUCCUCCGUCUCCCAAGUGGCAUCUUCUUCCCCGUGGUUACUCCACAACACUUUGUAGAGCUUAACCACACGAUUACGCGUUUCCCGUUCCUUGCGAUCAAGAAUCGCCAUGGGUUUCUCCUCAUACACCAAGUCUGACUUCAACUUGAUGUCUCGAAUUUCCACUCGUUCCUCCGGUACACGAAGGCACUUCUUCAAUUGCGAUACGUGAAAGACAGGAAAAAUGGCCCGAAGCGCAACUGGGAGUUGAACUUUGUAUGCCACAUUCCCUUUCUUUUCGAGAAUCCGAUAAGGUCCCACAUAGCGAGGUGCAAGCUUUCGCUUGACUCCGAACCUUUGUACACCCUUCAUCGGAGACACCUUGAUGUACACAUGGUCACCAACUGAAUACUCAAUCGGCUUCCUUCUCUUGUCAGCAUAACUUUUCUGACGAGCUUGAGCAGCUUCCAGGUGUUGCUGGAUAACACGGACUUUCUGCUCCGCUUCGUUCAUGAAAUCGAUGCCGUAGUAUCUUCGCUCUCCAGCUUCUACCCAAUUCAACGGGGUUCGACACUUUCGACUGUACAAGGCUUCAAAUGGAGCCAUCUUGAUACUCUCCUGAUAACUGUUGUUGUAGGAGAACUCAGCUAAUGGCAACCACUUAACCCAAGAACUUUUUGAUGAGAGAGCACAUGCCCUCAACAUAUCUUCAAGGAUCUGGUUAACUCGUUCAGUUUGACCUGCUGUUUGGGGGUGAUAAGCAGAGCUGCGGACCAAGUGAGUACCAAUCUGCUCAUGAAGACAUUCCCAAAAACGAGCAGUGAACUGUGGUCCACGAUCAGAUAUGAUUGUUCGAGGCACACCAUACUGGCGAACAAUGUGCUCGAAAUACAACUCUGCAUACUGAUGGGGACGAUAAUCAGUUCGGACUGGAAUAAAUCGAGCAACCUUGGUCAAACGAUCUACAACCACCCAGAUAGAGUCAUAACCCUUAACAGAAGUUGGGAGUCCACUGAUGAAAUCCAUGCUGACUUCUUCCCAUUUCCAACCAGGAAUUGGCAAGGGUUGAAGCAAACCAGCUUUCAUGUGAACAGCCUUCACGCGACAACAAUUGUCACAACGAGCGACAAAAGCAGCUAUCUCCUUUUUCAUCUUUGUCCACCAAAACAAAGGUUUCAGAUCCUGAUACAUCUUGCUACUACCAGGAUGGAUAGACAUUUUGGAUGAAUGAGCUUCAGAUAGGAUCUGAUUUCGCAGCUCGCGGUCUUUUGGGACCACAAGUCGAUCCUUGAACCAAAGGAUUCCGUUUUCAUCAACCCGGAAAUGCUUGGUUUCUUCUUCCUUCAUCUUCCUCUUGAUAUGGUGGAUGCCUACAUCUGUCCGCUGCAGUUCGAUGACUCGAUUGCGAAUGGUACUUUCCAGAGAAAUCUGGUUGAGCACAAGCGGAUGCAUAAGAUGUGACAACAACGGAUCUUCCACUUGUAUUGAGUGACAGUGCGCUUUCCGACUCAAGGCAUCCGCCACCACGUUUGCCUUGCCCGGAUGAUAGUGCACUUGGAGAUUAUAGUCUUUAAUCAACUCAAGCCACCUUCGCUGCCGCAUGUUCAGUUCAGGUUGAGUGAAGAUAUACUUGAGGCUCUUAUGAUCGGUGUAGAUAUUACACAGAUUACCCAGCAGAUAAUGCCUCCAGAUUUUCAAAGCAUGAACAACUGCUGCCAAUUCUAAGUCAUGAGUGGGGUAAUUGACCUCAUGCUUUCGAAGUUGGCGCGAGGCAUACGCGAUAACGCGACCUUCCUGCAUCAACACACAGCCUAAACCAAUGCCUGAUGCGUCACAAAAGACAUCGAAAGGCUUCUCGAUAUCAGGUUGAGCUAGGACAGGAGCUGAUGUCAACAGUGUCCUCAACUUGUGGAAUGCCUCUUCACACUCACGUGUCCACACAAACUUUUCAUCUUUCUGAAGUAGACGAGUCAUAGGCUUGGAUAUUUUGGAGAACUCCGGAAUAAAUCGACGGUAAUACCCAGCCAGACCGAGAAAACUCCGAACCUCGUGUACCGAAGUUGGAACUUUCCAAUCCAGCACCUCUUGCACCUUAGCCGGAUCCACCGAUAUGCCUUCUUCAGAUAAGACAUGGCCCAAGAAAGGUACUUUCUUUAGCCAAAACUCGCAUUUGCUAAACUUAGCAUAAAGCUGAUGUUCGCGCAAACGCGACAACACUACACGCAGAUGCUCUGCAUGCUCCUCUUCAUUGCAAGAAUAUACCAAGAUAUCAUCAAUGAAGACCACUACAAACUUGUCCAAUUCGGGCAUGAACACCAAAUUCAUAAGAUACAUGUGUUGAUGCAAAACUGGUCUGCAAACACAAAGGGCUAAUACCCGAUUCAAACGUUAAGGCGUGCCAGCCGAUUUGACCUUGCUAUCGGCAAAGGUGAUAACUCGAAUACUUUAGUCCUGACAACAGCGAUGCGCCCGGAUGUCACGGCUAAGAGGUACUCACGCGGAACUUGAGAACACGCCGAGCUUAAGUCGACGAAUUCCUAAGAACUCGUAACAAAAGGAAAAAGUAUGACGAAGUCGUCGAAAAGUAAAUGCUGGAAUAUGAGUAAAAAUGUGUGUUUGAUUUCUUGAUUUUAUUAUUACAAGGCCCUAGGGUCUAUAUUUAUACCCUGCUCAAAGAGCUACAACCAGACACGAUUAGAAUUCGAAUUCCAAAUUACACGGAAUCCGUAUACAAAACGAUGCAAAUAAUUAAGGAAAUAACAAAACUAUCCCUCGUGACAAACCGAAACUCCUCCACAUAACGACCGGCAGCUUCCAGAUUCCUCCUUUGCAUCAUCGGCAGAUCCUUUGCCAUAGCAUCGGCAGACUUUCUUAUCUAGCCAUCGGCACCAUAUUACUGCCUGUCACAUUCAACUUCUCCCUCAUCGGCAACCAUCCUCAUCGGCAACCCGCUUUGUCAACAUCAUACUGCCACCUUAUCCUGCCUUCCUAGACACGUGCCCAAAAACGGUGUCAACACAUGCCCCCCAGUUUCGGAGUAUAAAACUAUUAAUGCUCCGAAAUUCUCUGCAGUAAUGAUGCCUUCUCCCGCAAUUAAUGCUCCUAAUCUGGUAACCGACAACCUCAAUCUGGACAACUCUGAUCCUAAUCCUCCGCAGAUUCCUCGAAAUCCCCAACUUCCUAAACGGGCAUUUUUCUCAGUCGUACAUCGGCAACAAUACCGUUACAAAGAUCUGCCGAUGUUCUGACCAGGAUAUUCGCAAAAACGGUUACUUCCCCUCUAUCCGCCCAUCGGCAAUAUGACCGUUAUAGAAUAUCGCCGAUGGACCGACUAGGAGAUCUCGCACAGUAAAAUAUCUUCAGAUAAUGACCGCUUCCCGUCAAAUCACCUGCACAAUCCCUGGAUUACCGUGCGAACAGUUACCAUAUCCACCUGAGUACCCUCGGAUUUCUCGGAUGCGGCAAAGAGAUAAGUCGGAUUUUCCCUUGCCCAUCUUGUCCUAUAAAUAGUUCCUUCUUGGGUACUCCUUCCCCAUCACACUAUUCUACUAUCCAACUUUACUUUUCCAGCGGCGGCGCCACCAAAAACUCCUAAGGUCUUCGACAAGUACCCCUCUUCAUCAACUCCGGCGCCUUCACACGCUUCCUUCGCAGCAAGAUGGCCGUCGGGUUCGUCGUCCCUGAGGUCAAAUCUCCACCCCGUCUUUUGUAUUUUUCUUCAUAUCCCUGUUCACUCGCAAUUCAUUUUACUGAACAUCUUCCUUUUCUUUCCUCUUUGUAUUUCUUUUUACGCCCAAAAUCACUAGGAAUUGUCCAACAAAAUUGUCAUCCCCACCGAUCAACCACACUGUUGACACCGUUUUUGGGCACGUGUCCAGGAUGGCAGGAUAGGGUGGCAGUACAAUGCGGGUUGCUGAUGAGGAUGGUUGCCGAUGAGGGAGAGGUUGAAUGUGACUAAGUCCACAGGCAGUAAUAUGGUGCCGAUGGCUGGAUAAAAAGGUCUGCCGAUGACUAUGGCAAGGGGAUUGCCGAUGACGCGAAGGAGGAGUCCGGAAGCUGCCAGUUGUCAUCUGGAGGAGUUUCGGUUUGUUACGAAGGAUAGUUUUAUUAUUUCCUUAGUUAUUUGCGUCGUUUUGUAUACGGAUUCCGUGUAAUUUGGAAUUCGAAUUCUAAUCGUGUCUGGUCGUAGCUCUUUGAGCCGGGUAUAAAUAUAAACCCUAGGACCUUGUAAUCAAGAAUCAAGAAAUCAAUCAAACACACGUUUUUACUCAUAUUCCAGCAUCUACUUUUCGACGACUUCGUCAUACUUUUUCCUUUUAUUACGAGUUCUUAGGAAUUCGUCGACUUAAGCUCGGCGUGUUCACGAGUUCCGUGUGAGUACCUCUUAGCCGUGACAUCCGGGCGCAUCGCUGUUGUCAGGACUAAAGUAUUCGAGUUAUCACCUUUGCCGAUAGCAAGGUCAAAUCGGCUGGCACACCUUAACGUUUGAAUCGGGUAUUAGCCCUUUGUGUUUGCAGAUCAGUUUUGCAUCAACACAUCUUUUGGCACGCCCGGUGGGACAGAUUCAAGAUCAAGAUCAACAUGUCGAUCUCUGACCUCGAUCAAGAGAACGUCAUCCCCGUGACGGAGGCCAACCUCAAGGAUGAGCAAAAGCAAGCUAUUGCCCAAGCCAUGGAAGAGUUCAAGCAGCAAUGCCUAAAGUCUUUCAGCAUGAACAGGAGCGGCGAAGCGGUCCAGAAAGAUGCACUGCCGGCACCACGGCAGGUCACCUUCGACGCCAAUCCUGGCAAGCUUCAAGAUAUGGUUGACAAUGCCAUCAAUCGAGCGUUGAUUAACCAAGCUGGUGUACUGUCUAAUACGGUUUUCAACACCGUGGCAAGAACUUUCAAGGAAGGACAAAUCCCGCCAGAUUAUGUGGGGCCCUCCCAUCAUCAGCCAACGGCACCAGAGGUCACGGCUCCAUCGGCUGCCUUGCCGAAUGCAAGUGCACAGUCUGCCGUCCCUCCAAGUACAUUGGGGACUACUGGCGCACUAUCUAUGCCGAUGGCAGCCAACCCACAAAUUUCAGUUGGGCAGCAUAAACUGACAACAGAUAUGUUGGCAUCGGCAAUGUCAGGGUUAAAUCUUCCUCCCAAUUGGUGGGGUUAUGGUAUGCCUCCAGAGUUGACACCGGGAACAUCACAAAUAACUGACAUGAGGGGCAAAACUCCUAUGACAUCGGCACCUCCCAAUGCGCCGGUGAACCAGAGUCCUCGGUAUACCACAACUACUACCGCGCGGCCUUACACUGGGAAUCCUCAAGAUUCAAUGUUCCAGAUGCCCAACGCAUCGGCAGAGUCAAUGCUGAUGCAACAGAGGCCUAUGGCCCAGUCGGGGUAUGUCAAUUCAACGACGGUACCCAAUUACCAAUCAUCGGCAGUACCUAUGCCGAUGAACGCUAAUAAUGGAUGGCUUGGACAGCAAGCCUUUCCACAAUCGCCCCAGCAGGGUUAUCAGACUACGGGGUUCCAGCAAGGGCAGGUUUAUCCCGGGUUCCAAGGUCAGGGAAUUCCCAACCAGCCAAUAAAUUUUGGACAGCAACUCGGAGGACAGCCAAUCGGUGGACAGCAGUUUGGUUGUCCGCAGAUUGGAGGACAGGUGACCAAUACGAUGUUCCAUACAGGUCACGUCCCAAACAGACACGUGGAGGUUCGCCACCAAGUGCCAGAUCCGCAGCCGCCUCAUCGGCAAGAUGCCGAUGCGUAUUGGGCCGAUAAGAUUGCUGAAGUAAUGAGGGAACAAUUUGGGAUAAAACCCAAAGUUAACACUUAUUCUUAUUGGACACCGUAUCCUUCAGCGUAUGAUUUGAUCCCGCUUCCACAUCGGUACAAGGUACCGGAUUUUACGAAGUUUUCCGGACAGGACGACACGUCAACCAUGGAGCAUGUCAACAGGUUCAUUAUUCAAUGUGGAGAGGCUGGUAACAGGGACGAAUUGAGGGUUCGUCUAUUUUCAUCAUCAUUGUCUGGAUCGGCCUUUACUUGGUUCAUAUCAUUACCUCCCAAUUCAGUAAUUACUUGGGCCGAUCUAGAGAAGCAAUUCCACAGAUACUUCUUCCCGGGGGUUCAUGAGAAGAAGAUCACCGACUUGGUCAAGUUGAGGCAACGCAAUGAUGAGUCGGUUGAGGGAUUUGUGCAGAGGAUACGAGAGGUCAAGAAUAAAUGCUAUAGCCUGGUUCUGGAUGAUCGGCAGCUAGCCGAUUUGGCUUUCCAGGGUUUGUUGCCACAUAUCAGGGAUAAGUAUGCCUCUCAGGAGUUCGAAAGUUUAAGUCACUUGGUGCAGAGGAUAUCUGAUCAAGACAUCAAGCCUUUCGAGCCUAAGAGGGCAUGGAAUAAGAAAGUCUCAUUUGUUGAUGAAGCAACAAGCUCAGAUUCCGAUGAAGAACCAGUAAUCGGUUUGGCAGAGUGGGUAAAAAACAAGAAGCCGAUGUCUUGUCCUUUUGGGCAGAAGGAACCAGAGAAGUUCGCCUUUGAUACCGCCAAGGCCGAUAGGAUAUUUGACUUUCUACUUCAGGAAGGUCAGAUCAAACUGUCACCUAACCAUGUGAUUCCAUCGGCAGAAGAGUUGAAGAGGAUGAGAUAUUGCAAGUGGCAUAAUGCAACUUCCCAUGACACCAACGAGUGCAAAGUAUUCAGACAGCAGCUGCAAUCGGCUAUUGAGUCAGGGAGAAUCAGAUUUGACAGUUCCAAAGCCCAGAAGCCGAUGAAGAUAGACCAACAUCCUUUCCCGACAAACAUGUUGGAUGCUAAGGGGAAGGCUAAAGUCUUAACAUCGGAGACAGCUGAGAAGAGUGCAUCGGUAGAUCCUCAGCAUCAAGUUACUACCGCCGAUGCAAGAAGUAAGGGCUUGGUCCAGGAAGGAGCUAGCUCAGGAAGACUUCCUUGAUCUGGUAUCGUCAUAACUCAUAGAAGGCCUCGAGAGAGAUGGCAACAACGGGAAGAUCGGUAUCGGCGCCAGCAGGAAUAUUAUCAACGGGAAGAAGAAAGACGCCGACAGGAGUGGAAUCGGCACAGGGAUCAUUGGAAUUGCCCAUUCUUCAUCCAUUGUUGGGAGGAAAAUAUCAAGCUUCCUACUGUCAGAGACUGCCCUGAAUGCAACGGUUAUGAUCGGUACGAUAGGAACGAUCGGCGUUAUCAUGAUGAUGAACGGCGAUUUAAUGGGCCAAUCAGAGGAAGGGCGUCAGUUCAUGAUCGGCUGGGGGGCAGGCUUAGCGUUCGCGAUCGGCUCGGUGACCGUGUCCAGUAUUUUCCCAGGAACCAGGAAGAGCUCGAGGAGAUGGCUAAUGCGCGGGUUCCCGAUGAGUUCAUAUUUUGCAGAGAUGCUAACACACAUCGUAUGGAGUCAAGGGAGAACCGACGCCCGAUGGCAAGACAAAGGCCACUUCCUCCAUGGUGCCCUCAAGGAUUAACCAAGACACAGAAAAGGAGAUUGCAACGAGAAUGGCAAGAGGAGCUAAACAAGGGAGAGAACUCUGGAAGUCGGCAGCCGUCAGACACUAAGAGGGAAGGUCCAUCGGCAGGCGUCAACAUGGUCUUCAUGUUGCCGAUGGAGUUUCUUGCACCAGCCAGUGACGAUGACCUGGAAUUUUCUGAUCAGAUAGCUCAGUUGGCUCUGGAUCUGAUGACGGCUGUCUUUGAGAAACCUGCCGAUGACGAGAGGCAGCAUCUUAAAGCUUUGUUCCUCAAAGGAAGGGUUGAUGGGCAGCCAAUGACUAAGAUCCUAGUUGAUGGUGGAGCUGCUAUUAAUAUUAUGCCGUAUGCAGUAUAUCGGAAGCUUGGGAAAGGGGAUCAAGAUUUGACCAAGACCGAUAUGAUGCUCAAAGACUUUGAGGGAAACGUGUCUCCAGUCAAGGGGGCGAUAUCUGCAGAGUUGACCAUCGGCAGCAAAACCUUGCCGACAACUUUUUUCGUGAUCAGCGGAAAAGGUGCCUACAAUUUAUUAUUGCGGAGAGAUUGGAUUCAUGCCAAUUGUUGUGUCCCAUCUACAAUGCAUCAGUGCUUGGUUCAGUGGGUAGGUGACAAGAUUGAGAUCGUCCCAGGGGAUUCUUCUUAUGUUAUCGCAUCGGCAGAAGCGGAUACUUAUGAAAAGACUAGGUGCAUUUCAGGAGAAGUUUGGGAGAAAGAUUUUCUCAAAGUUGCCGAUUAUGAGAUUCCACCGAUCCAAGCAGUCGGUUCUGACGACGGUUUUUAAUGGAUAGAUUCGCCGAUGAUGGAAAAUUAGGCCAGGGGUUCACAUCGGCCGAUGAUUUGGUAGAAAUAGAUAUAGGUAGUGGUGAUAAGCCUAGGCCUACUUUUAUUAGUGCUAAAUUAGAUCCUGAGUGUAAGCAACAAUUGACUAGUUUGUUAAAGGAAUAUAAAGAUUGCUUUGCUUGGGAUUAUACAGAGAUGCCUGGUCUAGACCGAUCAAUUGUCGAACAUCGGUUACCCAUCAAGUCUGGAUUUCGGCCACAUCAGCAACCAGCCCGCCGAUGUAAUCCUAACAUUCUACCUGAUAUUAAGGCCGAAAUCACUAAACUUAUUGAAGCUAAGUUUAUUCGGCAGUGUCGGUAUGCCGAAUGGAUUUCCAAUGUUGUUCCGGUUUACAAGAAGAACGGGAAGCUUCGGGUGUGCAUUGAUUUCAGGAAUCUCAAUAAAGCUACGCCGAUGGAUGGAUACCCAAUGCCUGUCGCCGAUCUACUGGUUGAUGCUGCGGCUGGCCAUCGGGUCAUCAGCUUCAUGGAUGGUAAUGCAGGUUACAAUCAAAUAUUCAUGGCAGAGGAGGAUAUUCCAAAAACCGCAUUCAGGUGUCCUGGUCAUGUUGGACUAUUUGAAUGGAUAGUCAUGACUUUUGGGUUAAAGAAUGCUGGUGCUACUUAUCAAAGGGCUAUGAAUUUUAUAUUUCAUGAGUUCAUCGGCAAGAUCGUAGAAAUUUAUAUUGAUGAUGUGGUGGUUAAGUCUGGAGAUUUCUCAAAGCAUCUUGCCGAUUUACGAAAAGUGUUGGAGUGCACCAGGAAGCAUGGAUUGAAGAUGAACCCCAACAAGUGUGCAUUUGGCGUAUCGGCAGGGCAGUUUCUUGGUUUUAUGGUACAUCAGAGGGGUAUUGAAAUUAGUCGAAGAUCUAUUGAUGCCAUCAAUAAAAUAGUGGCCCCUACCAAUAAAACCGAGCUCCAAUCCUUGAUCGGCAAGGUGAAUUUUAUCAGAAGAUUUAUAUCGAAUUUAUCUGGGAGAAUUCGUGCUUUCAGUCCUCUUCUUAAAUUGAAAGCCGAUCAGGAGUUUGUUUGGGGAGAAGAACAGCAGUUGGCUCUGGAUGAAAUCAAAAAGUAUCUAGUAAAUCCUCCAGUUUUAGUUCCACCUCAACAAGGGAAACCCUUCAAAUUAUAUUUAUCUACCGAUGGAUCGGUUAUCGGUUCAGCUUUGGUUCAAGAAUUUGAAGGGAAAGAGAGAGUAAUUUAUUAUUUGAGUAGGAGGUUGAUUGAUGCUGAAACCAGGUAUUCGGCCAUUGAGAAACUGUGCUUAUGCUUAUAUUUUUCAUGUAUCAAGCUGAGACAUUACCUGUUGUCGGCUGAAUGUGCUGUUGUUUGCAAAGUUGACGUGGUCCGAUACAUGCUAUCUAUGCCGAUUAUGAGUGGUAGGAUCGGUAAAUGGAUUUUAGCACUGUCGGAGUUCGAUUUGCGUUACGAAUCGGCUAAGGCAGUCAAAGGGCAGAUCAUGGCCGAUUUUGUGACUCAGCAUUGCGGUCUAGUGGAAACCUUGGAAAUUGCACCCUGGACGCUCUUCUUUGAUGGAUCUACCUGUGACCGGGGGGCGGGAAUCGGCAUUGUAUUGGUUUCUCCUAAGGGGAGGAAGUAUGAGUUUUCCUUGCCGAUUGUUGCUACAUCAACAAAUAAUCAGGCUGAGUAUCAAGCUCUGAUCAAGGGAUUGGAGUUGUUAAGAGAAGUACGCAAAUGUUAAAGGAAUUCAAGAACUUCCGAUUGGAGCAUGUUCCCCGAUUGCAUAAUGAAGACGCGAAUCGGUUAGCCCAGCAUGCCUCAGGAUAUCAGCCAAUGAUUAAUGCGACAUCGGCAGUCAGUGCCGGUGAUUGGAGGAAAGAAAUUAUCGACUAUCUAGAAGAUCCAUCCAAAAAAGUUGAAAGACGGGUUCGAUUUCAAGCGACCAAGUAUGUGCUCCUUGAAAAUGAAUUGUAUUAUCGAACUAUCGACGGAAUUCUUCUCCGAUGCUUGGGUGAUGAUGAAGCCAGAAGUUUGAUGGGGGAAAUCCAUGAAGGAGUGUGUGGAGCGCAUCAGUCCGCUUUUAAGAUGAAGUGGAUGAUUCGAAGGAACGGAUAUUUUUGGCCAACCAUACUUGAAGAUUGUUUUAAAUAUUUCAAGGGAUGUCAAGGUUGUCAAAAGUUCGGUAAUAUCCAGAGAGCACCCGCAUCGGCUAUGAAUCCUAUAAUAAAACCUUGGCCGUUCCGGGGGUGGGCCAUCGAUCUGAUCGGCCAGAUUUAUCCAUCAUCUAGCAAAGGGCAUAAGUUCAUUCUAGUUGCCACUGACUAUUUCACUAAGUGGGUCGAAGCUAUUCCUUUGAAGAAAGUCACAUCGGCCAAUAUGAUUGAUUUUGUGAAGGAGCAUAUUAUUUACCGAUUUGGGAUUCCCCAAACGAUUACUACCGAUCAGGGCACCAUGUUCACGUCGGGGGAGUUCGAUGAAUUCGCAAUCGGUAUGGGAAUUAAAGUGUUGAAUUCUUCUCCUUACUAUGCUCAAGCCAAUGGGCAGGCCGAAGCGUCUAACAAAGGAAUUAUCAAGCUUAUUAAACGAAAGAUUGAAGAAAAUCCUAGGCGGUGGCAUACAUUGUUAAAUGAAGCACUGUGGUCUUAUCGGAUGGCUUGUCAUGGAUCAACCAAGGUGUCACCCUAUCAAUUGGUGUAUGGACAUGAUGCAGUGUUGCCUUGGGAGAUUAAGGCUGGAUCUAGGCGAUUAUCUUUUCAAGAUCAAUUGGCUGCCGAUGAUUAUGCCACGUUGAUGACCGAUGAGUUAGAUGAUUUAGCAGGGCAUCGGUUAAAGGCUUUAAUGAGUAUAGAAGAAAAUAAGAAGAGAGUUGCUAGAUGGUAUGAUAAAAAAGUAAAGGCUAAGGAGUUUGCCGAUGGGGAUUUGGUAUGGAAGUUGAUUUUGCCAGUUGGGACUAAAAGUUCGAAGUUUGGGAAGUGGUCUCCUAAUUGGGAAGGUCCUUAUCGGAUAAGACAUUCAGCUCCUGGUAAUGCCUAUAUUCUAGAAACUCUCGAAGGAGUUGAAUUUCCCAGAGCAUUAAAUGGAAAAUAUUUAAAGAAGUACUACCCCAGCAUAUGGGUCGACGCAUAAAAGUUUAAGUGCCGAUAACACUCCUAUCGGCUGGAUUUAAAUGUUCGGGGGCAGACUUAAUGUUUCAAAAGAUGCCGAUAACAGUCUUAUCGGCUAGACUAAAAGCUAAAAGCGGAAAAACAAAGGUGUGUUGCCGAUGAAAGCUUCAGAUGUUCAGCAGCGCUUGGAUUGCUGAUAUGGCGCGCAGCCGAAUCUGAUUGGCUGUCUCUAUCUCUUUGAUAUCAUCAUCGGCAGAACCUUCUAUCGGCUUCAGCUUCCUCUUCAGCUGCAGCGCUUUGCGACCAUGGACGUUUCGUUCUUGUUCAAGGUGCUUGAUGGUCUCCGGCAGUUGACUCUCUUCUUGCUGGGCUUGGGACAGAGCGUCCUCUACUUGCUUGAGUUCGGCCAGUAGAGCUUCUCUUUUUGCCGAUAGAUCAGACACUUUCUGCUUCAGUGCAUCACCUGAGGACUUUAAGGUGCCGAUGUUCUUAUGUUUCUCAUCGGCUAAGAGUUUUUCUUUCAUCAUCUCCUCAGAAAGCUGGAUUUGAGCGGCUCUAUCGGCAAGGCGUUGAGUGGCUCUCUGGUACUGUAGCUGGCGGCUUUCUAGGUGUGCAGCAUGGAAGAGUGUUUCUUCAGCAUCGGCAGGAAGUUGGCCUCUAAGGGUCUUGAACAGGGCUUUGGCUGGGUCAGAAUCAUUGACCAGUUGAGUUGUUUCUUGAUGAAGUAUGGCCGAUAGCUCUUCCAGCUUAGCUCUGGUUUCUGCCGAUACAGUUCCAACUGCCCGGGAGGAGCUUGCUUCCUCGCCUUCUUCUUCGAAGAUAUCAAUGGCGAAGGAGAAUAAGCUGUUGGGAGAAUCUUGUUCCUGAAAAUGAAGACGAAAUAAGUCAGUUUUAUGGUCAAAACUUCGGCAGACGAUACUGGUGGAAAAUUGGAUGACUUACUUGCUUCAAGGCGAUUUCUUGCCUUUGACUCAAAGAUGCCGAUGGAGCUACAGGUUGAUCGGCAAAUGCUGCCGAUGGAACGAUAUCGCCUGAAAGAAGACAGGAAGGAUUAUGAGACUAAAUGAGAAUAAGUUUAUCGGCGGAAGUAUUGUUGAGAUAUGUUACUCGGAGGAGAAACAACAGUUGCCUGAAUCGGGGAAACCGCCGAUGAUAUAACUGGACCUGCCGGGCCAGUUGGUUGUUCACCUACGUCAGCUGAUGUACCUUCUGUUUGAGGUUCUUCCUGCUGGGGUUCUUCCAUCUGUGGUGCUUCCUGUAUUGGUUGGGAAGAUGGUGCUUGUUGUAUCUGGACUUCUGGAGAAGAAGGGGAAGAUUCCACCGGGAUUGGAGACACCGGAGGAGGAGGAGGAGUUGCCACUUUCUGGCGCUUUGUUCCAGCCUUAGCACCUUGGAUGCCCUUCCUCUUUGGCUGACUAGACUGGGGGGCAUCGGCACCUUGGCGUUUGGCUUUUGCCGAUGCACCAGUUUGCUGCAACAACAAAAAGGAGUUUAUGAGCACAGAUAACCGAUACAAAGAUAGUCAGCAUAAAUGAAAAAGGUUUUAACAGAUUGCCUUGAAAGCUUGCGCCAGAGUAGAAGCAGUUACCGUUGGUGAUGUCUGAGUUUUCCUGGUGGUAACUUUCUUGAGACGCGCACCCCGGUGCACGAUGGAAGCCAGAGUGGGAGCAUUAUGGCCGAUUGAGGAGAUCGGGCCUGAUGGGAAUAAGUCGAUCGGCUUGCCACUCCUGCUAACCGAUGGGGGGGUGUUGUCAAUCUGCAAAAGGAAUACAGGGGUAAGUUACCGAUGGGAAUAGUAUUGGAAAAUGAGACAUCGGUUUAAAAUACUUACAGUGUCAUCAGGGACUUCGUAUUCGGGGUCGAUCAUGCCGCGGUAUGAGAGGGCCGAUCUGCAGAAUAGAUUCUCUUUCCAUUCUGCCCACCAUAGCUUGUAUGCCUGAGUGAUAAAGGCAGCUGGAACCCAUUCUGACAGAUCUACAUCUGUAUCGGCAUUUGGUGGUAGCUGGGCUACUCGAGUCCACUCGAGGAGGUUGGCGAUGGGUUCUCUGGGCUUUAUUACAUCGGCAUAAGGAAGUGCAAUCGGCAAUUGGCCGAAAGCUAGCUGGCGAGCUAAUGCCGAUGGAUUAUAAAAUUCAUAGGUUUGGGGGGAGGUUUUCGUGCUACCGAAGAAAUUCACUGGUAUGGCUCUGGGAGUCACGAUUGCCAUCAUCACCUCAUUGUCCCUGUCAAGAGCUUCAUCAAAUGGAUUGAAGGUCAGAGGGAGCAUGCUGUCUGGGUCGUCAUAAGCCAGCCAUGGUCGUUCAUCUCUGGCCAGACCCUCAUACAGAGUCUCGAAGGAUCGGCCGAUCUGAUCCGGAUUGUUCCCUGAACCGGGUAAGACUAUAACGGCUUCACCAAAGUUCAAGGGGGCACGCGUUGCCGAUUCCUCUUCACCUAACACAUGAUUCUCGGCUAUAUCUCUUGGGAAGUGCUGUGAGAACAAGUUGAAAUCAAGGCGCUUAUGCAGGUGCAGAUUGAGCCACAUAUUAUAAACCACCAGGGGCCUCCCAAGUUGCCGAUGGAUUGGCCAAGCAGGAGUUUCUGGGCUACUUGAUGAAGAAGGUGGUAAACAGCGCCGAGCAAAUAUCGGCCGAGAGGAAAUUGGCCGCCGCUAGCCAGUCUUUCUGCUGCCGAUAGAUAGACAGAAGUCGGUCCUGCCGAUCGACCACAGAAUACAAACUUGUCCAGCCACAUGUUCAGAAAGGUGGUUUGCUCCUUUGUGGUGACAGGCCCUCUCCCGCGGUACUUCUGGAUGUACCCUGACCAACCGCCGAUAGCGCGAUUCUCCACUUUGGCACUGGGGGCGGUAUCAAAAAAGUGGGUGCUAUCGGCAGAAGAUAUAUCUAGCCCAGUAAGCAUGGCUACAUCGGCAAGGGUAGGAGAAGCAGGGCCGUGGCCAAAAACAAAAGCAUUGAGAGUGUCUGACCAAAAGUAGGAUGCAGCUAUCAGCAAUGACUCGUUCCUGUGCAUAUCGGCAAUGGAUAGCCUAAUGCAUUGAGCUAGCUUCCUCUCACCCCAUUGAACUUCAUAAGAAUUGCUGACCCUCAAGAACCAAUCUUUCCACCCUACAGUAGGGCUGGGCCAAGAACGAAAGGUGUCUUUCCACAGAUCUAAAGAAAAGUUUUCAGCUCUAAAGGGAAUCCUGUUGGUUUCUGCAUUGAUAAGGUCGGUUGGAUCUGGAUCCCCUAGAGGGCCGAGGCACUGAAGGUGUGGUUGAUCGGUAGGGAUGACAAUUUUGUUGGACAACUCCUAGUGUUUUGGGGAGUAAAAAUACAAAGAAAAAGGAAAAGGAAAAUGUUCGGUAAGAUGAAUCGCAGAUGAACAGGAAUGCGAGAAAAAGGUACAGCAGAUGAGAUGGAAGUCUGACCUCAGGGACGAUGAAGCCAAUGGCCAUCUUGUCGUGAAGAGGACGUUGGAGGGCACCGGAGUUGAUGAAGAAGAGUGCUUGUCGGAGGUCUUGAGGGUUGUAGAUGGCGCCGCCGCUGGAAAAGCAAAGUUGGAUAGUAGAAUGGUGUAAUGGGGGAGGAGUACCCAAGAAGGAACUUUUUAUAGGACAAGAUGGGCAAGGGCAAAUCCGUCUUAUCUCUUUGCCGCAUCCGAGAAGCCCGAGGGUACUCAGGUGGAUAUGGUAACUGUUCGCACGGUAAUCCAGGGAUUGUGCAGGUGAUUUGAUAGGAAGCGGUCAUUAUCUAAAGAUAUUUUACUGUGCGCGAUCUCCUGGUCCGUCCAUCGGCGAUAUUCUAUAACGGUCAUCUUGCCGAUGGGCGGAUAGACAGGGGGUAACCGUUUUUUGCGAAUAUCCUGGUCAGAGCAUCGGCAGAUCUUUAUAACGGAAUUGUUGCCGAUGUACUACCAAGAAAGAUGCCCGUUUAGGAAGUUGGGAAUUUCGAGGAAUCUGCGGAGGAUUAGGAUCAGAGUUGUCCAGAUUGAGGUUGUCGGUUACCGGAUUAGGAGCAUUAAUUGCGGAGAAGGCAUCAUUACUGCAGAGAAUUUCGGAGCAUUAAUAGUUUUAUACUCCGAAACUGGGGGGCAUGUGUUGACACCGUUUUUGGGCACGUGUCCAGGAUGGCAGGAUAGGGUGGCAGUACAAUGCGGGUUGCUGAUGAGGAUGGUUGCCGAUGAGGGAGAGGUUGAAUGUGACUAAGUCCACAGGCAGUAAUAUGGUGCCGAUGGCUGGAUAAAAAGGUCUGCCGAUGACUAUGGCAAGGGGAUUGCCGAUGACGCGAAGGAGGAGUCCGGAAGCUGCCAGUUGUCAUCUGGAGGAGUUUCGGUUUGCUACGAAGGAUAGUUUUAUUAUUUCCUUAGUUAUUUGCGUCGUUUUGUAUACGGAUUCCGUGUAAUUUGGAAUUCGAAUUCUAAUCGUGUCUGGUCGUAGCUCUUUGAGCCGGGUAUAAAUAUAAACCCUAGGACCUUGUAAUCAAGAAUCAAGAAAUCAGUCAAACACACGUUUUUACUCAUAUUCCAGCAUCUACUUUUCGACGACUUCGUCAUACUUUUUCCUUUUAUUACGAGUUCAUAGGAAUUCGUCGACUUAAGCUCGGCGUGUUCUCGAGUUCCGCGUGAGUACCUCUUAGCCGUGACAUCCGGGCGCAUCGCUGUUGUCAGGAAAGUAUUCGAGUUAUCACCUUUGCCGAUAGCAAGGUCAAAUCGGCUGGCACGCCUUAACGUUUGAAUCGGGUAUUAGCCCUUUGUGUUUGCAGAUCAGUUUUGCAUCAACACACACCUUCAAUGCCUCGGCCCUCUAGGGGACGCAGAUCCAACUGACCUUAUCAACGCAGAAACCAACAGGAUCCCCUUCAGAGCCGAAAAUUUUUCCUUAGAUCUGUGGAAGGACACCUUCCGCUCUUGGCCCAGCCCAACUGUAGGGUGGAAAGACUGGUUCUUGAGGGUCAGCAACUCUAAUGAAGUUCAGUGGGGUGAAAGGAAUCUAGCCCAAUGCAUUAGAUUGUCCAUUACCGAUAUGCAUAGGAACGAGUCACUACUGAUAGCUGCAUCCUACUUUUGGUCAGACACCCUCAAUGCUUUUGCCUUUGGCCACGGCCCUGCUUCUCCUACUCUUGCCGAUGUAGCCAAGCUUACUGGUCUAGAUAUAUCUUCUGCCGAUAGCACCCACUUUUUUUGAUACUGCCCCUAGUGCCAAAGUGGAGACUCGCGCUAUCGGCGGUUGGUCGGGGUACAUUCAGAAGUACCGUGGGAAAGGAUCUGUCACCAUAAAGGAACAAACCACCUUUCUGAACAUGUGGCUGGACAAGUUUGUAUUCUGUGGUCGAUCGGCAGGACCGACUUCUGUCUACCUAUCGGCAGCAGAAAGACUGGCUAACGGUGGCCGAUUCCCUCUCGGCCGAUACUUGCUUGGCGCUUCUUACCACCUUCUCCAUCAAGUAGCCCAGAAACUUCUGCUCGGCCAAUCCAUUGGCAACUUGGGAGGCCCCUGGUGGUUUGUCAACAUGUGGCUCAAUCUGCAUCUGCACAAGCGUCUCAACUUCAACCUGUUCACACAGCGUUUCCCAAGAGAUAUAGCUGAAAACCAUGUAUUGGGUGAAGAGGAAUCGGCAACACGCGCCCCCUUGAACUUUGGCGAAGCUGUCAUAGUUCUGCCUGGUUCAGGGGGUAAUCCAGAUCAGAUCGGCCGAUUCUUCCAGACUCUGUAUGAGGGUUUGACCAGAGACGAACGACCAUGGUUGGCUUAUGAUGACCCAGAUAGCAUGCUCCCUCUGACCUUCAAUCCGUUUGAUGAAGCUCUCGACAGGGACAAUGAGGUGAUGAUGGCAAUUGUGACUCCCAGAAUCAUUCCAGUGAAUUUCUUUGGUAGCACAAAAACCUCCCCUCAAACUUACGAAUUUUACAAUCCAUCGGCAUUAGCUCGCCAAUUAGCUUUCGGCCAGUUGCCGAUUGCACUUCCUUAUGCCGAUGUGAUAAAACCCAGAGAAACUAUCAACAACCUUCUUGAGUGGACUCGAGCAGCCCAACUACCACCAAACGCUGAUAUAGAUGUAAAUCUGUCAGAAUGGGUUCCUGCUGCUUUUAUCACUCAGGCAUACAAGUUAUGGUGGGCAGAAUGGAAAGAGCAUCUAUUCUGCAGAUCGGCACUUUCAUACCGCGGCAUGAUCGACUCCGAAUACGAAGUUCCCGAUGACACUGUAAGUAACUCAAACCAACGUUUCAUUUUCUCAAUAUUACCCCCAUCGGCAGCUUACCCUUGUAUUCCUUUUGCAGGUUGACAAUAUUCCUCCAUUGGUUAGCAGGAGUGGCAGGCCGAUCGACUUGUUUCCAUCAGGCCCGAUUUCCUCAAUCGGCCACAAUGCUCCCACUCUAGCUUCAUCGUGCAUCGGGGUGUACGUCUCAGGAAAGUCACCACCAGAAGAACUCAGACAUCACCAACGGUUGCUGCUCCCACUCUUGCGCGGGCUUUCAAGGCAAUUUGUCAAAUCUUUUCCUUUAUGCUGACUAUCUUUAUAUCGGCUAUAUUUAUGCUUAUAAACUCUUGUUCAUUAUUGCAGCAAACCGACGCAUCGGCGAAAGCCAGGUGUGAGAGUACCGAUGCCCCCCAGUCUAGCCAACCCAAGAGAAAGGGCACCACGGGUGCUAAGACUGGAACAAAGCGCCAGAAGGUAGCAACUCCCCCUCCUCCUCCGGUAUCUCCAAUUCCGGUGGAGUCUUCUCCUUCUUCUCCAGAAGCCCAGCCACAGCAAGCACCAUCUCCCCCACCUAUGCAGGAAGCACCACAGAUAGAAGAACCCCAACAGGAAGGAUCUCAAACAGAAGAUACAUCAGCUGACACGGGUGAACAAACAACUGGUCCGGUCGGUCCAGUUAUACCAUCGGCAGUUCUCCCGAUUCAGACAACCGUUGUCCCUCUUCCAGGUAACAUACUUUAACAAUAUCGCUACCGAUGAACUUAUUCUUAUUUAGUCUCAUAACUCCUUUUGUCUUCUUUCAGUUGAUAUCGUUCCAUCGGCAAUCUCAGCCGAUCAACCUGUAGCUCCAUCGGCAUCUUUGGCCGAUCAGCCUGCAGCUCCGUCAGCACUUCUCAGUCAAAGACAAGAGAUCGCCUUGAAGCAAGUAAGUCACCAUUUACCGUUAGCACUAUUUGCCGAUUCUCUGAGUAUGAGCUAAUUUUGCUUUCCCUCCCAGGAACAAGAUUCUCCCGAUAGCCUGUUCUCCUUCGCCAUCGAUUUCUCUGAAGAAGAAGGUGAAGAAGCAAGCACUUCUCAGACGGUCGGCAUCACAUCGGCAGAGGUCAGGGUCAGGCUGGAAGAAUUGUCAGCUCUCCUUCACCAGGACACAGCGCAAUUGGUUGAUGAUUCCGACCCUACCAAGACCCUGUUCAGAACUCUCAGAGGCCAAAUCCCAGCCGAUGUUGAAGAAAUCCUGUUCCAAGCCGCUCAUCUGGAGAGUCGCCAGCUGCAGUACCAAAGAACUUCUCGGCGGCUUGCCGAUAGAGCCACUCAGACUCAACUCUCCGAUGAAAUGAGAAAAGAGAAACUUUUGACCGAUGAGAAGCACAAGAACAUCGGUAUCCUGAGAUCUUCUGGAGACGCGCUGAAGCAGAAGAUAUCCGAUCUAUCGGCAAGAAAAGAGUCCCUGUUGGCGGAGCUCAAGGAAGUAGAGAACGCUCUGUCCCAAGCCCAACAGGAAGAGAGCCAAUUGCCAGAGACCAUCAGGCUUCUUGAGCGCGAGCGAAAUGCUCAUGGUCGCAAAGCACUCCAACUGAAGAAGAAGCUGAAGCCGAUAGAAGGUUCUGCCGAUGAUGACAUCAAGGAGAUAGAAGCAGCCAACCAAAUUCGGCUACGCGCUAUAUCGGCAAUCCAGACGCUGCUUAACACAUAGAGUUUCCAUCGGCAUUGUAUCUGCGCUUUCCUGCUUCCUCAGCUUUUAGUCUAGCCGAUAGGACUGUUAUCGGCGCCUAAACUUUUGAAACACCACGUCUUGUCCCCAAGCAUUUGGAUCCAGCCGAUAGGAGUGUUAUCGGCACCUAAACUUCUAUGCAUCGACCCAUAUACUGGGGUAGUACUUCUUUAAAUAUUUGCCGUUUAAUGCUCUGGGAAAUUCAAUUCCUUCGAGGGUUUCUAGAAUGUAGGCAUUACCAGGAGCCGAUCGACUUAUCCGAUAAGGACCCUCCCAAUUAGGAGACCACUUUUCAAACUUCGAACUUUUGGUCCCAAUUGGUAAAAUUAAUUUCCAUACCAAAUCCCCAUCGGCAAACUCUUUAGCCUUCACUUUCUUAUCAUACCAUCUAGCAACUCUCUUCUUAUUUUCUUCUAUACUCAUUAAAGCUUUUAACCGAUGCUCUGCUAGAUCGUCCAAUUCAUCGGUCAUCAAAGUGGCAUAACCAUCGGAAGUUAAUUGAUCUUGAAAAGAUAAUCGCCUAGAUCCAGCCUUAAUUUCCCAAGGCAACACUGCAUCAUGUCCAUACACCAAUUGAUAGGGUGAUACCUUGGUCGAUCCAUGACAAGCCAUCCGAUAAGACCACAAUGCUUCAUUUAAUAAUGUAUGCCACCGCUUAGGAUUUUCUUCAAUCUUUCGUUUAAUAAGCUUGAUAAUUCCUUUGUUAGAUGCUUCGGCCUGCCCAUUGGCUUGAGCAUAAUAAGGAGAAGAAUUCAACACUUUAAUUCCCAUACCGAUUGCGAAUUCAUCGAACUCCCCCGAUGUGACCAUGGUGCCCUGAUCGGUAGUAAUCGUUUGGGGAAUCCCGAAUCGGUAAAUAAUAUGCUCCUUCACAAAAUCAAUCAUAUUGGUCGAUGUGACUUUCUUCAAAGGAAUAGCCUCAACCCACUUAGUGAAAUAGUCAGUGGCAACUAGAAUGAACUUAUGCCCUUUGCUAGAUGGUGGAUAAAUCUGGCCGAUCAGAUCGAUGGCCCAUCCCCGGAACGGCCAAGGCUUUAUUAUAGGAUUCAUAGCCGAUGCGGGUGCUCUCUGGAUAUUACCAAACUUUUGACAACCUUGACAUCCCUUGAAAUAUUUAAAACAAUCUUCAAGUAUGGUUGGCCAAAAAUAUCCAUUCCUUCGAAUCAUCCACUUCAUCUUAAAAGCUGACUGAUGCGCUCCACACACUCCUUCAUGGAUUUCCCCCAUCAAACUUCUAGCUUCAUCAUCACCCAAGCAUCGGAGAAGAAUUCCGUCGAUAGUUCGAUAAUACAAUUCAUUUUCAAGGAGCACAUACUUGGUUGCUUGAAAUCGAACCCGUCUUUCAACUUGUUUGGAUGGAUCUUUUAGAUAAUCAAUAAUUUCUUUCCUCCAAUCACCGGCACCGACUGCCGAUGUCGCAUUAAUCAUUGGCUGAUAUCCCGAGGCAUGCUGAGCUAACCGAUUAGCGUCUUCAUUAUGCAAUCGGGGAACAUGCUCCAAUCGGAAAUCCUUGAAUUCCUUUAACAGUUGCAUACUUCUCUCGAAAUAAGUUAUGAGAACUUCACUUCGGCAUUCAUAGCUUCCGGCCAAUUGAUUUAUAACCAACAUAGAAUCCCCGAAUAUUUCAACAGCAUCAGCACGAACUUCUCUUAACAACUCCAAUCCCUUGAUCAGAGCUUGAUACUCAGCCUGAUUAUUUGUUGAUGUGGCAACAAUCGGCAAGGAAAACUCAUACUUCCUCCCCUUAGGGGAAACUAAUACAAUGUCGAUUCCUGCCCCCCGGUUACAGGUAGAUCCAUCAAAGAAGAGCGUCCAGGGCACAAUUUCCAAGGUUUCCACUAGACCGCAAUGCUGAGUCACAAAAUCGGCCAUAAUCUGCCCUUUGAUAAGUAGCACCAGCAUUCUUCAACCCAAAAGUCAUGACUAUCCAUUCAAAUAACCCAACAUGACCAGGACACCUGAAUGCGGUUUUUGGAAUAUCCUCCUCCGCCAUGAAUAUUUGAUUGUAACCUGCAUUACCAUCCAUGAAGCUGAUGACCCGAUGACCAGCCGCAGCAUCAACCAGUAGAUCGGCGACAGGCAUUGGGUAUCCAUCCAUCGGCGUAGCUUUAUUGAGAUUCCUGAAAUCAAUGCACACCCGAAGCUUCCCGUUCUUCUUGUAAACCGGAACAACAUUGGAAAUCCAUUCGGCAUACCGACACUGCCGAAGAAACUUAGCUUCAAUAAGUUUAGUGAUUUCGGCCUUUAUAUCAGGUAGAAUGUUAGGAUUACAUCGGCGGGCUGGUUGCUGAUGUGGCCGAAAUCCAGACUUGAUGGGUAACCGAUGUUCAACAAUUGAUCGGUCUAAACCAGGCAUCUCUAUAUCUACUUCUACCAAAUCAUCGGCCAAUGUGAAUCCCUGGCCUAAUUUUCCAUCAUCGGCGAAUCUAUCCAUUAAGAACCGUCGUCAGAACCGACUGCUUGGAUCGGUGGAAUCUCAUAAUCGGCAACUUUGAGAAAAUCUUUCUCCCAAACUUCUCCUGAAAUGCACCUGGUCCUUUCGUAAGUAUCUGCUUCUGCCGAUGCGAUAACAUAAGAAGAAUCUCCUGGGACAAUCUCAAUCUUGUCACCUACCCACUGAACCAAGCACUGAUGCAUUGUAGAUGGGAUACAACAAUUGGCAUGAAUCCAAUCUCUUCCCAAUAAUAAGUUGUAAGCACCUUUUCCGCUGAUCACGAAAAAAGUUGUCGCCAAGGUUUUGCUGCCGAUGGUCAACUCUGCACAUAUCGCCCCCUUGACUGGAGACACGUUUCCUUCAAAGUCUUUGAGCAUCAUAUCGGUCUUGGUCAAAUCUUGAUCCCCUUUCCCAAGCUUCCGAUAUACUGCAUACGGCAUAAUAUUAAUAGCAGCUCCACCAUCAACUAGGAUCUUGGUCAUUGGCUGCCCAUCAACCCUUCCUUUGAGGAACAGAGCUUUAAGAUGCUGCCUCUCGUCAUCGGCAGGUUUCUCAAAGAUAGCCGUCAUCGGAUCCAGAGCCAGUUGAGCUAUCUGAUCAGAAAAUUUCAACUCAUCAUCACUAGCUGGUGCAAGAAACUCCAUCGGCAACAUGAAGACCAUGUUGACGCCUGCCGAUGGACCUUCCCUCUUAGUGUCUGACGGCCGCCGACUUCCAGAGUUCUCUCCCUUGUUUAGCUCUUCUUGCCAUUCACGUUGCAAUCUCCUUUUCUGUGUCUUGGUUAAUCCUCCAGGGCACCAUGGAGGAAGUGGCCUUUGCCUUGCUGUCGGGCGUCGGUUCUCCCUUGACUCCAUACGAUGCGUGUUAGCAUCCCUGCAAAAUAUGAAUUCAUCGGGAACCCGCGCAUCAGCCAUUCCCUCGAGCUCUUCUUGGGUCCUGGGAAAAUACUAGACACGGUCACUAAGUCUGUCGUGCCCACUACAUCUGCCCCCAGCCGGUCAUGAACUGACACCCUUCCUCUGAUCGGCCCAUUAAAUCGCCGUUCAUCAUUAUGAUAAUGCCGAUCGAUCCUAUCGUACCGAUCAUAACCGUUGCACUCAGGGCAGUCUCUGACAGUAGGAAGCUUGAUAUUUUCCUCCCAACAAUGGAUGACAAAUGGACAAUUCCAAUGAUCCCUGUGCCGAUUCCACUCCUGUCGGCGUCUUUCUUCUUCCCGUCGAUAAUCUUCCUGCUGGCGCCGAUACCGAUCUUCCCGUUGUUGCCAUUUUUCUCGAGGCCUUCUAUGAGUUAUGACGAUACCAGAUCGAGGAAGCCUUCCUGAGCUAGUUCCUUCCUGGACCAAGCCCUUACUUCUUGCAUCGGCAGUAGUAACUUGAUGCUGAGGAUCUACCAAUGCACUCUUCUCAGCUGUCUCCGAUGUUAAGACCUUAGCCUUCCCCUUAGCAUCCAACAUGUUUGUCGGGAAAGGAUGUUGGUCUAUCUUCAUCGGCUUCUGGGCUUUGGAACUGUCAAACUUGAUUCUCCCUGACUCUAUAGCCGAUUGCAGCUACUGUCUGAAUACUUUGCACUCGUUGGUGUCAUGGGAAGUUGCAUUAUGCCACUUGCAAUAUCUCAUCCUCUUCAACUCUUCUGCCGAUGGGAUCACAUGGUUAGGUGACAGUUUGAUCUGACCUUCCUUAAGUAGAAAGUCAAAUAUCCUAUCAGCCUUAGCGGUGUCAAAAGCAAACUUCUCUGGUUCCUUCUGCCCAAAAGGACAAGACAUCGGCUUCUUGUUUUUUACCCACUCUGCCAAACCGAUUACUGGUUCUUCAUCAGAAUCUGAGCUUGUUGCUUCAUCAACAAAUGACACUUUCUUAUUCCAUGUUCUCUUAGGCUCGAAAGGCUUGAUGUCUUGAUCAGAAAUCCUCUGCACCAAAUGACUUAAACUUUCGAACUCCUGAGAGGCAUACUUAUCCCUGAUAUGUGGCAACAAACCCUGGAAAGCCAAAUCGGCUAGCUGCCGAUCAUCCAGAACUAGGCUAUAGCAUUUAUUCUUGACCUCUCGUAUCCUCUGCACAAAUCCCUCAACCGACUCAUCAUUACGUUGCCUCAACUUGACCAAGUCGGUGAUCUUCUUCUCAUGAACCCCCGAGAAGAAGUAUCUGUGGAAUUGCUUCUCUAGAUCGGCCCAAGUAAUUACUGAAUUGGGAGGUAAUGAUAUGAACCAAGUAAAGGCCGAUCCAGACAAUGAUGAUGAAAAUAGACGAACCCUCAAUUCGUCCCUGUUACCAGCCUCUCCACAUUGAAUAAUGAACCUGUUGACAUGCUCCAUGGUUGACGUGUCGUCCUGUCCGGAAAACUUCGUAAAAUCCGGUACCUUGUACCGAUGUGGAAGCGGGAUCAAAUCAUACGCUGGAGGAUACGGUGUCCAAUAAGAAUAAGUGUUAACUUUGGGUUUUAUCCCAAAUUGUUCCUGUUUAUGCUGAAAGACCUCAGGCAUUGCUGCUUGAACUCUUCCAUGGCUUGGGCAAUAGCUUGCUUCUGCUCAUCCUUGAGGUUGGCCUCCGUCACGGGGAUGACGUUCUCUUGAUCGAGGUCAGAGAUCGACAUGUUGAUCUUGAUCUUGAAUCUGGUCCCACUGGGCGUGCCAAAAGAUGUGUUGAUGCAAAACUGGUCUGCAAACACAAAGGGCUAAUACCCGAUUCAAACGUUAAGGCGUGCCAGCCGAUUUGACCUUGCUAUCGGCAAAGGUGAUAACUCGAAUACUUUAGUCCUGACAACAGCGAUGCGCCCGGAUGUCACGGCUAAGAGGUACUCACGCGGAACUUCAGAACACGCUGAGCUUAAGUCGACGAAUUCCUAAGAACUCGUAACAAAAGGAAAAAGUAUGACGAAGUCGUCGAAAAGUAAAUGCUGGAAUAUGAGUAAAAACGUGUGUUUGAUUUCUUGAUUUUAUUAUUACAAGGCCCUAGGGUCUAUAUUUAUACCCUGCUCAAAGAGCUACAACCAGACACGAUUAGAAUUCGAAUUCCAAAUUACACGGAAUCCAUAUACAAAACGAUGCAAAUAAUUAAGGAAAUAACAAAACUAUCCCUCGUGACAAACCGAAACUCCUCCACAUAACGACCGGCAGCUUCCAGAUUCCUCCUUUGCAUCAUCGGCAGAUCCUUUGCCAUAGUCAUCGGCAGACUUUCUUAUCUAGCCAUCGGCACCAUAUUACUGCCUGUCACAUUCAACUUCUCCCUCAUCGGCAACCAUCCUCAUCGGCAACCCGCUUUGUCAACAUCAUACUGCCACCUUAUCCUGCCAUCCUAGACACGUGCCCAAAAACGGUGUCAACAACAUGAAAUGAGCAGGUGCAUUCGUAAGCCCGAAGGACAUGACAAGGUACUCAUACAACCCAUACCUCGUCGAGAAAGCCGUCUUAGGUAUAUCUUCGGGACGGAUCUUGAUCUGAUGGUACCCAGAUCGCAAAUCAAUCUUGGAGAAUACCUUAGCUUUAGACAACUGAUCAAACAAGAUAUCAAUGCGAGGAAGAGGGUAUUUGUUCUUGAUAGUCACCGCAUUUAGGGGACGAUAGUCCACACACAUGCGCAAAGAUUGAUCCUUCUUCUUCACAAAGAUGGCCGGACAACCCCAAGGAGAAGAACUAGGACGAAUAAGACCCUUCUGCAACAACUCAUUUAGUUGGGUCUUAAGCUCAGCUAAUUCAUUGGGCGGCAUCCUAUAAGGUCUUCUAGAGAUAGGAGCGGUGCCUGGAAUCAAUUCAAUUUUGAACUCCACAUCCCGAUCCGGAGGAAGCCCGGGCAAAUCAUGAGGAAAUACGUCCGGAAACUCACACACCACUGGAAUAUCCUGAAUAGCCUUAGAUGUAACUGCAUUCACAGUGCUACGGAUUUGAAUAUCACGAGGGAGUUGCACUAGAAAUGCCUCCUUGGUAUCUGGGUCUUUCAACAUCACUACACGAGUGGUGGUGUCUAUAAGAACUCCAUUACCACUCAUCCACUUCAUCCCCAGAAUUACAUCUAUGCCCACACCGGGUAGAACAACCAGAUCAGCAAGAAACUGACGGCCUCCUAUCUCCAGAGUUGCCCCCAAAACCACUUGAUUGGUGGAAACAUCAUUUCCCGCAGCACUAAUACAAUAACUGCCCUGAUCAAGUGUGAUGGUCUUGAUGCUAUGCUUAGAUACAAAUUCAGAACUCACAAAAGAAUGCGAUGCUCCAAAAUCAAAAAGCACGAGUGCAUCAUGUUGAUUGACCAGAAACUUACCAGCCGUGACUACCACACCAGCAGGGAUUGCCUCCACAGUUGUGUAGUGAACACGCCCCUGACGGACGUUCCCCUGGUUGCCCUUCUUUGGCGGGUAAGGACAGUUGCUCUGCCAAUGCCCGGUCUGAUUGCAGUUCCAGCACGGACGGUUGGCAGGUGGAGUCUUGGCAUAUCUGGGACCCGUGUUGCCCCUAGGAAGAGCAAUAGAGUACCCCUUGCGAAAACCCGUCUUUGCCUGAUUCUUCUUCACCGGAGGGCGGUAUCGCUGGUUGGGGGUUGGAGCACGGAAUGGUGGCUUAGCUGCCACUGGAGCCUUGGACUGAGAUGACCCAGCACUGGCCUCAAAAGCCCUCUUGCGAGUCUUGGUCGCAGUGUACACAGUGUUAUAGUUCUCUUGGGUGAGAGCAUCACUGACAAACUCGUUGAAAGUUGCACACUUAGUGCGGCCCAUAGUCUUCAGCAAUUUGGGACCCAAACCCCGCUUGAAACUAGCAAUCUUUUUCGUCUCCGUGUUCACAAACUCAGGAGCAUACCUAGACAAGUGAUUGAAAGCAUGCAAAUACUCCUUCAGAGUCUUGUUGCCCUGAGUCAGCUGCAUGAACUCGGUGUGCUUCAUCUCCAUAACACCCGGAGGAAUGAAAUGCCCUUUGAAAGCCUCACGGAAAAGAUUCCAAUCAAUCACCGUGGCAGCCGGUAGAGCUUCCCGGUACUGAUUCCACCAGAUGCCUGCUGGUCCCUGCAGUUGGUGAGCUGCAUACUCCGCCUUCAAACCUUCAGUCAACCGAAGUAGGCGAAACUUUUGUUCCACCGUAUUCAGCCACUCUUCAGCUUGAAGGGGUUCUUUAGCUUCUCUGAAAGGUGGGGGCUUCGUAUCCAUGAAGUCCUUGAAGCUACUGUACUGGUUAGGAGCUGGCCCUUCCUGUGCAUUACGGCCACCCUGAUUUGCCAUACGAUUGAUGGUUUCAGUGAGCAUCCUCUGAUUUUCCACCAUCAUUUGCAUCAGCUCAGCUGGAUUUGGUGGUGGAGGAGGAGGUGGUGGAUUCAUGUUUGCACGCUGUUCCGCACCCUGGGUGCCACGAGACAUCUGUAAAGACACAGUCAGUGAGCAUUGAUGAUGACAAGAUUUGCCGUAGAAGAACUUAUACUCAUGCCUGAAAGUAUUCGAGAGAAUAACUUCACAGAAAGGCACAAUAAUUCAAUUCCACAAAACAACAUCACCAAUCCAACUCACGACAUAGAUAUCCGCAAUACGCACCACAACGGAAAACAUCGGCACAACAUAACGAUCAUAUAGACUGCACAUAGGGUCCAUAAGGUUAUUACACCAUCACAGUACAUGCCAUGAGUCAAGGUCAAAGUUUCGAAUUACAACAUGGUUACAAAAGCACCACAACCGACUGGCAUACAACAAAAGAUCCUGCAGCAACUACUCACUACUCCCUACACUCCAGGCUCGUCGUCCGAGUCAGCGUCGAAGAUCGCCUCUCCAUCCUCGUCGCUAACCGGCUCAAGCUCCUCAUCCUCCACGUCCUCGUGUAAAGGUGGUGCAGCCACUGCUGGCCCAUCGACCUCCAUACCAUCAUCCUCGGCCACAAUCACCUGAGGUCCCACCUCUGGAUACACUGGGAUAGGGCGAGGAAUAGGGUGUAGCAAGUUGUUGAGACGGUGAAUCUCCACAAGACCAGCCUCAAUCUGACCCUGUAGAUAGUUCUCCCGCUCAAGCGACUGAACUCGGUGCAUCUCCCAUGCUUGGCGCCUGUUCUCCGACACACAGAGUGCAGUAUCCCUCUCACGGGUGAGCUGCACCAAGCGCUCCUGCAAGGUCUCCUUCUCUCUAGCUAACUGGCUCAUCUGAUCCUGCUUAUGAUCUCUCUCUGAUGGCUUUCACCCACUGCUGCCUCCGAUACUCCGCAAUGUCUUCCCAGUCAUUGCGGUCCUUCUGAGCUUGCUCCAGGAGCCUAGCUUGCUUGCGAAAUUUGCGAGCACGCUUUUCAGCCUUCCGCUGCAUCUCCUGUGCCCUACGAACAGCCACCAUCACCUAUGCAUAGGUGUCCUCUCGCUGACUGAUCAGCUUGAGUACAGCCAUCAUAGCAUUCAUAGCAGGACUAGAGCUCUCAGCUCUCUCUCCUCUGCCUCGAACCAAAGCACAACCAUCAGCCUGUUUCCACUCCGCGGCUGCUGGGUCAGCACUAGGAAUGGAGGCCGCUGGUCCUCCUGUCAGCUCGUUACCACACCUCUGACAGAUGUCGAGCAGGAUAGUCUGGGCUGCAACCUGAGCUGCCUCCCAAGGAGUCUGCCCAUCUGAGCUGCACGUCCAGCCUGUCCAUGCAGGCUUGUCCCCGCGUGGAGGGACAACUCCCUGCACAGCAAACCACUGGAUCUCUCCUGUGCUCUCCAUCUCCCACCAAGAAUACUGAGGUGGCUCAGUAUACCCAACAGUCCGUAACACUCUCCAGAGCAGGGUAGGAGUGCCAGACUCGUGCAAGAAAGUGUCACUGGGACGAGGUGAGGCGGGUGCGUCCAUCUGUGGAAAGGAAUGGGAAUACCAUGGUAAAAGAGGAUUAGUUGAAGCAACAUUUAUUUAUUUAAAAAGGGACGAAAUUGUAAGGGAAGGAGCAGACAGAAUGUAUGUAUGAAUGCGACAUGAUGCAUGCACGAACCGUACGUCCUCACAAACUUAGAAAAUUAAUAUUCUAACGGAUAUACGGUGGCAUACAUUCGUCUCUCGAUACGGUAACUAUCGGUUUACACGUACGUUGUUAGAGUACCUGCAGAAAACUUCACUUCAGCCCAACAGUUCCCAAUAUAUAUCACUCAAGAAACCAGUAAACUAAGUGCACAUUGCUUGGGCAUGCCCAACAUGCUCAAACAAUGACACCACAACUACCCGAGAAAUUAAAUACUCCCCAAUUAAGUUUCUUUCGUGGUUCCAUGGUUUCGACAUGUAGCCACUCCAGAAAACCACCGCGAACACUCCCCUAGACCGCCGUUUGGACGAUCAUGCUCUCACAGCUCCCACUUACCUGAGCGUAGGUGCGACGUUGCAUAAUUUAAAUCUAGCGACAUAUGUGGCUAAUUCACAUAUGAAGGCUACCUCCACCAUUAUACCACAGGGUAGCAUAGUGCGGUCAUCACACAUCCAUACCUGAGUACUGCCGGAGAUGCAUAAAUAAAACCCCCCAAGUCAGUACUUAAAUAGCCACCUAGAGUCCUUAUGUGGGCAAGGAGGAUUCGACCACUGGCAUAACUUAAUUACUUAUUAAACACCAUUUUAUUUAAAAACUCUUUUGUUUUAAAUACACAAAUGCUGCAUUUAUAAUGCUGAACUUGCUCCGAUGCCAGCUGUCACAGAACCGACCAAAUUAUAAGAGUUCAAGUGCAGAAACGAUCGUCAAACAAUCAAGUUUCUUAACUUGAGCCCAUAUAAUCCCGGUAGUCAAUUGAAAUCACAAAGGACUUCAAACCAACUCGCAACAAACCAAGAUCGUAAUAGUUCAGCAUAAACACAACGAUUGUUACAUAGUCAUUCAUUGCCGACGAAGCGGCACCACAUCGGAGUCAUUAAGUUAUUACAACCCAAGUUUGAAGUAGCGGAAGCAAAAUAGUUACACACAUCCGUUCAAAGUUCAGUUCACAAGUUUGUUAUUGCCAGAGUCUAGGUCAUCAUUCCAAAAGCAUCAUAGACGAGAAGAGUAGAGAACCGUGCCCAACGGUUAGUCCUCAUCCCCAGCGGGAUGGAGACAGGUCUUGCAGAAACCGUCAUAGAAGAUAUCAUCUGCAACAGGUGGGAAUAAACCCUGAGUACGAGGAUGUACUCAGCUAGACUUACCCGUCUAGUAAAACACAAAAGACACCAAGGAUCAUGCAAGGCUAAAUCUUAAGUGGAGCUGGUUGACUCACCUUUUGCCAAAAGCUUAACUUACAACUAAGUUAUUUUAAGGGCAUCAUUUUUAUUUAUCAUCAGCCUACCACUAGAUUAGCACCUGUACUACAACACAUCACUUGAUUAUUACAAACAAUAUUAACCAUAUCAAAUUCAUCAUAUGUUCUUCUUGCUAUCAUCAUUAUCACGAACCAAGUUCAUUAGUGAAUGCUACGUUUGCCGCUGCUCUGUCAAGUUCUCACUAACCGGGAGAGACGGCGAUUCGAAUCGAAUUCCUAUCCAGCUGGAGGAUUAUUCCUAGCACUCACCCAGGCAUCCCCUGCCGGAGAGCCAAAGGGUCACCUUUGGUACGACUCAGGAAUCGCGGCUCCGAUCAGCGCCGCACUCCCAGGGCUACCACUCUGCCAGGGAGGUCAGGAAUUUUAACUCACCAGCCUUUGGACUUACGCCAAUGGUCCCCCGCACACCGCACUUCCUCCGGUAGUGCGCACUUUAUACUUGCCGGUCUUCCGGCCUGAGUCAUACUACUCGGCUUCGCGGUCGGAACGAGUUAUCCGGCCAACUAAGUGUCAGGCAUGCGUUCAACAUGACAAGAGGACGUACAACGAUCGGUCCUUAGCUGCCACAGAUGGAGUUACUACACACUUGCAAAACUCCGCCCGGCUUAAGUCAAUUUAACCAGGUUCCAUCCACGAUAGCACAUAUAGACCAUCGUGACCCGACACAACCCUAUAUCGCGCGGAUGACAGAAUAUCACCCGACUUCUACCGAUUAAAGCAUAGCUAAGCUGCUACUCGAAUCUAACUCUACAACCAGGGAGGGUGAGUUAUCUGGACAAGGAUAGAGUAGAAUGCAGCAACAGUUUCAUCACAACUCCUAUACGUAAUGCAUCAAUAGAUAUAACGUAUUAAGUAAACUUUUCGGAAAUAAGGGGAGACUUAGAAUGCUCCGGGGCUUGCCUUUCACGAACGAUGCCGGCUCGUGAUUCGGGCACUCAACUUCUUCUUCGGGCUCCUCGAGUCCGGCUUGCUGGACCUCCACUUCCUGGCUGCCCUCCUGACCUUCGGGAUUCGCUUGGAGCUCGAAGGAAACUGCCACGUCCGGUGCACCUAUUGCAUGCUCGAUGAAUGAGAAGGUGCACAUGCUACAGAUGAAUGCUUAAUAACACAAGCAACUCACUGGACACUCAUUUACGGAGCAGGAGUUAUACUAACUCACAUGAAUAAACAAGUUAACAUAACCCAAAACCUAUCAUGACACUAAAGCAGCAAAUGACACAAAACAAGUAUGCUCAGUAAAUAAAUCAUAAUUAUAGAUAGACAGGUCCAACAAACAUGAGUAAGGACAUUCUGGAAAGCUUACGAAAUUGUCUACAAUUAAUCUUUAAACAUGACAGCAAGAUUCAUACAUGAAACUGGUCAUUUAAACAAAGUUCCAAGUUCUGUCCCAGAAAAACAGAGAACACCUAUUUCUGGAACCCAACUUGGAACAUCUAUAACUUUUAAACUACUUGGCCAAAUGACUUCAAAUUUAAACCACAGCUGGCUCUAUAAGUUUAGAACAACUUUGAUUUAGACAAGUUUCACAGAAAGUCAAGUUAUCAUUAAGCAAAGUUAAAUUGCUCACUUGCUGUCCAGAACAGCAUUUAACCCUAUAGUUAAUUAUUUAAUGACAUGAUCAAAACACAAACCAUGCCAACCAUAUGACUCAUGAGCACAAACAUAUUACAAGGUCACCAGAUCAUCAGUUGAAAACCCCAAAACAAUUACUUAACAAGGCAUUUAUUAAUUAACUUUAGAUAAGGCAUAUUUACAAGAUAUUAGUUAAAGUGCUCAGAAAAAUCUACAAAAAUUACAGAGGCACAAGUAUAACAUCAGAUCACCACCAUAAAAAUUUCAGGACCAAUGCACAUGCCAAAUUAAAGAUAUGCAUUUAACAUGUAUCAAGGCAUUUAUUUCAUAAAUUCAUAAACAUGACUUAUAUAGUGUCAAACAACAGAUUUCAGAUUAUUUACAUCUUAGGAAUACCAUAAACAAGUUUACCACCAAAAUAGAGCAUCAGCAUAAACAGCAAUUAUUUUAUGUGAUUUAAUUAAAGAAACAAGCCAUAUUUCAAACACAAAUUACAUAUCACAACAACAGUGCUCCAAAAAUCAUGAAAUAAUUAUCAGAGCACUCCAAUGCCAUGCAGAGACCACCAUAAAAUUUUCAAAGCAAACUAAGCAGUAUAACAAGAGAUAUGCCUUUCUCCAUAAAUAACAAGAUUAAAUCCUUAAUAAAUAAUUUCUCAGAAAACAUGAUUCAUUUUAUAUUUUUAUUAAAUACUAGCCAUCUCAAGAAACACCACAAAAUUUGUUUCACAAUUUUUGGAUCUCAGAAACAGGAGAUAUGAUUUUUGCAAGAAAGCCAAAAAUCAGGAUUUUGAAUAAAAGAAAAGGAGGGAAAGAGAGAGUCGCUGACAGUGGGUCCCAUCUGUCAGGCUCUUCUUCCUCACGGCCGAGGCGAUAUUCGCCGGCGAUUUCUCCGCGACGGCGAGGUCUACGGCCAAACCCAGGGCAUCAACGUGAUCCCCGAACCAUAACGUUUCGAUUGACCCCACUUUUGCCACGGCGGAGCCACCGGAAGGGGCUCACCGUCGGCAAUGGCGGCUCGGCGGAGGUGCCCGGCGUUACGCCGGAGCCCUCAGGCCGGUAGAGCGCGACCUAAGGCCUUCUACAGCACCAACGGACUACGGCGAAGCUUCCUAGGUACGCGGCUUGGCCUGGAUCCCCGUGGAAAGCGCUGGCCACGAGAGCACCCAACUCCGGCGGAAGCACGGCGGCGCUGCGCACCGUGUCCGGCGACGGAGAACCCGGUAGAGCGUUGUUGACACCGUUUUUGGGCACGUGUCUAGGAUGGCAGGAUAGGGUGGCAGUACGAUGCGGGUUGCCGAUGAGGAUGGUUGCCGAUGAGGGAGAGGUUGAAUGUGACUAAGUCCACAGGCAGUAAUCUGGUGCCGAUGGCUGGAUAAAAAGGUCUGCCGAUGACUAUGGCAAAGGGAUUGCCGAUGAUGCAAAGGAGGAGUCUGGAAGCUGCCAGUUGUCAUGUGAAGGAGUUUCGGUUUGUCACGAAGGAUAGUUUUGUUAUUUCCUUAAUUAUUUGCAUCGUUUUGUAUACGGAUUCCGUGUAAUUUGGAAUUCGAAUUCUAAUCGUGUCUGGUUGUAGCUCUUUGAGCAGGGUAUAAAUAUAAACCCUAGGACCUUGUAAUAAUCAAUCAAGAAAUCAAUCAAACACACGUUUUUACUCAUAUUCCAGCAUCUACUUUUCGACGACUUCGUCAUACUUUUUCCUUUUAUUACGAGUUCUUAGGAAUCCGUCGAUUUAAGCUCGGCGCGUUCUCGAGUUCCGCGUGAGUACCUCUUAGCCGUGAUAUCCGGGCGCAUCGCUGUUGUCAGGACUAAAGUAUUCGAGUUAUCACCUUUGCCGAUAGUAAGGUCAAAUCGGCUGGCACGCCUUAACGUUUGAAUCGGGUAUUAGCCCUUUGUGUUUGCAGACCUGUUUUGCAUCAACAAGCGUCACCAGGUGGCGCAAAAGCUCGCUAAGGACCUAAGCUACCUCUAGGACCUAACCAAAGAUGAUGAGAAGCCUCACAGCGCUCGGCAUUGAGUUCGCCGGAGAAGAAGGUCACGGCGGACCGAUUUGGGGGAAGAAGGGAAUGUCGGCUCACCGGUGGGUUUCUCGGCGAGUUAGAGGGUGGAGCUUGGAGAGCGGCUCAUGGCGGAGCUUUGGGUGGAGUUUGGUGGACGGAGACGCAGAGAGGAGCGCACACGAGCUCGCCGGAGUGAGCUCGCGGCGGAGGGCUCGCUGCGGACGAGGUUCAGGCGAGAGAGGGCGAGGCAGAGCGAAGUGGACGCGUCCACUCGCUCGGGGCGCCGCCGUGGAGGUCAUGCACGCGACGGAAGCUGACAAGCGGGGCCAAACGCGGCGUACGGGCGACAAAUGGCGACGGAGCUCUGCCGGCGGUCGGCCACGUCGACGAGGUCAGGCCCGAUUCAGAAGAAAGGGUGCUCGUCUGACAGAGCCACUUCACCGGCGAUUAUCUCCCAAACCAGAGCGAAUUAGGCGAUGGCGUAGUUGACAAACUUAGAGUACUAGGCGAGAUCUACAACUUUGUCAACUUGAGCAAAGGCCAGAUCGGCCUGGAUUGAAAGAUAUAGAGUUUCCAAAACCGAUCGAGCAAACUGCAAAGCACCCAGGACUUAGAAAAUUUUCUAAGUGUUGAAAACAGCCCCAAAUCUGCCUUGUGGACCACUUUUGAGCUAUUUGUGAUCAUUUUCAGGAGAUGGCCAUAAAACAACUUUUGUUCCUUAUAAAAUUUGCUACAACGUUGCUGUAGAAAGUUUUGACAUGCAAACAUUUUAUGAAACACUUUUUAAAAGCCUAAGCAAAAGAGGUUUCUAGGGCCUAUUUUCAUAAGUAUGACUUAGAAGCAUAUUUUGGAAAAGUGACCAACAUGAACAUUGUUCCCAAGAUCAAGUUAAACAUAGAUAAACUAAUUACCAAGACAUUAAGCACAAACACAAGCAUUGUUCACUCAAACAUAAGCAUAGGAAGCCUAUUUAAUCAAUUUAAACCACAUCUUUGCAAAGAAUGACAUGUCUCAAGAUAGAUGAUGAUCAUGGAUGCUUUGAAAAAUGAUGAUGCUCAUGCCAUGCACAUGCUUGAUGCAACCAUAACACUGGGGUGUUACAGUGGGGUCAGGUUUGUAAUAUAAAGUUUUCUUUCAGUUUAAGAAGUUGUACUUGUUUAUUUCUAGUGUGUUGAACUAAUGUUUGAUAAAUAAAUGGAAGUAUGUAAGAUAUGUUCUAAGUUAUGAAUUUCGUGUGGUAACAAGUACAUAUGACUCUUGUAGUAGAUGCCGAUGCGUACACGAGGAUCUGAUGGAGCCGGGACAUCUCAGGGAGGGGAUGAUAUCCCCAACCUCCACCUUCCCUGGCUGAUGCCAUUGCUGUUCUUUUGAGUGCCACUACUGACAACGCUCGUUUGUUGCGCGAGUUAGCACAACGUCAACCACACCCCGCCCCAAACUUCAGAGCACCGCACAAUGGGGACGGAGAAGCUCGGUACGUGGACUUUACCGAGACAAGGCCCCCGGUAUUCAGUAAGGCUGAUGAGCCGUUAGAAGCGGAUGACUGGCUCCAGACCAUGGAGCACAAGUUCAGUUUGAUUCAGUGUUCAGAAACUCAGAAGCCCCUGUUCGCAGCUCAGCAGCUUCGGGGAGCUGCAGGUGCCUGGUGGGAGAACUUCCUAGCUAUCUAAGCUCCGAGACACCAGGUCACCUGGACCGAGUUUAAGGACGCGUUUCGCGCCCAUUACAUCCCUGAAGGGCUCAUGGCCAUGAAGGCCGAAGAAUUUCUCGCCUUGCAGCAAGGCGAUAAAAGUGUCAUGGAGUAUGUGGUAAAAUUUAAUCAUCUUUCUCAAUAUGCUACAGACCACGUGAACACGGAUAGAAAGAAGAAAGCCUAUUUCAUGCGUGGUCUAAAUACCAAACUUCAGACCAUGAUGACCACCUGCCAAAAUGCUACCUUCUACGAGGCGGUAAAUAUUGCCAUCGCCUCAGAAGAAAAGAAUAGAAAGCACAAAGAAGCUAAGAAAAAGGCUGCUUCUUCCUCCUUCUCUGGUCGCGGUCAAAAGCGCUAGAGAAUCAUUUAUCAUCCACAAGGCCACGGACGCUUUCCAGCGCCGACACAUUAUCGUGGUCCUUUUUCCCCUCCACAAUAUAGACCAGGGCAGCAGGUAUAUCCUCGACCUACUGCCAUCGUCACUGCACCAUGCCAGCCAAACGCCCCAGGUGUUCGCCCCACUGCUCCGCCCAACCACAAUUACCCUUGUUUCAAUUGUGGUAAGCCUGGGCAUUUUUCCAAAGAGUGCCCCUAUCCCCGCCAAACCAACCCCACUUUCCAAAGGCCACCCAUGGGCCAACCCUAGUCGAGCCAAUUCAGGACUGGGGUUCAGAAAGGACAAAAUGUGCAAAAGGGAAAACCAGCGAAGAAAGUGGGACAAGUCUUCCAUACAGAGGUGGAGACGAUUCCGGAGGGUGAACCAGUAAUGAUGGGUACGUUUCCUGUCGCAAAACAUCCUGCUUUAAUGCUUUUCGAUUCUGGUGCAUCUCAUACAUUCAUCAAUCGCACCUUUGUGUUAAAGCAUGGCAUACCCAUUGGGGAAACACAAGAUCAUUUUUAUAUACAGUCGCCAGGAGGACGGCUGAGUUCUAAAGAAAUGGUUGACCAGAUACCCAUCGAAUUUGGUGGGCAUAAUUUUCCCACUAGCAUGAUUGUUCUUAAAGACCAGGAGAUUGAUGUCAUACUAGGCAUGAACUGGAUGGCACAACGAGGGGUUGUGGUAGAUACUUUGCCUCGAACCAUUAAAAUCCUAUUGCCCAAUGAGAAUUCUUACCUUCUAAUUCAAUUAGUUACUCCCAAACGGGCAAUUGGGCAGGUUCAUGCCGCUAAUGUGUCUGCAGUCAAAGAUAUCCCGGUAGUUCGAGAUUUUCCGGAUGUAUUUCCUGAAGACCUACCAGGUCUGCCACCGGACCGGGAUGUCCAGUUCAGUAUAGAAUUGAAACCAGGGACAGCCCCAAUAUCUCGAAGGGCCUACAGAAUGGCACCGAAAGAACUAGCCGAAUUAAAAACCCAACUACAAGAGCUGUUGCAGAAAGGUUUUAUUCAGCCCAGUUCUUCUCCAUGGGGUUGCCCAGCCUUAUUCGUGAAAAAGAAAGAUCAAACAUUAAGGCUGUGUGUCGAUUAUCGUCCCCUGAAUGAGGUGACGAUUAAAAAUAAGUACCCAUUGCCUCGUAUUGACUUACUAUUUGACCAGCUAGCCGGGGCCAAAGUGUUCCCAAAAAUUGAUUUGAGAUCAGGGUACCACCAAAUUAAAAUUAGGCCGGAGGAUGUACCCAAAACGGCGUUUACAACUCGUUAUGGCUGUAUGAAUACUUGGUGAUGUCCUUUGGGUUAACUAAUGCACCGGCCCAUUUCAUGUACUUGAUGAACUCUGUCUUCAUUCCAGAACUGGACAAAUUUGUGGUCGUCUUCAUUGAUGACAUUCUGAUCUAUUCCAAAACUAAGAAAGAACAUGCUGAACAUCUAAGAAUUGUGCUGACCCUCCUCAGGGAGCAUCAACUGUAUGCCAAGUUCAGCAAAUGUGAGUUCUGGCUGGACAAAGUUCAUUUCCUGGGUCAUGUAUUAUCAGCGGAGGGAUUCGCUGUAGACCCAGGCAAGGUAGAAGAUGUGUUGAAUUGGAAACCCCCGACUACGAUACAUGAGGUCCGUAGUUUUCUGGGUAUGGCGGGAUAUUACCGUCGCUUUAUCCCGGACUUUUCAAGAGUCGCCAAACCAAUCACGACCUUGCUCAAGAAUCAUACAAAAAUUGUUUGGUCAUCCCAAUGUGAGCAAGCCUUUCAGACUCUAAAAAGGUUAUUGACAACUGCACCUAUCUUAGCCCAGCCAGAUAUUGAAAAGCCCCUUGAUGUGUAUUGUGACGCAUCAGGGAUAGGGAUAGGCUGUGUGCUAAUGCAGGAGGGUCGAGUAAUUGCAUAUGCUUCCAGAUAGCUUAAACCCCAUGAAGAGAAUUACCCGACCCAUGAUCUUGAAUUGGCCGCCGUAGUACAUGCAUUAAAGAUCUGGCGCCAUUAUCUGUUGGGGAAUACCUGUCAUCUAUACACCGAUCACAAAAGCUUGAAGUACAUCUUUACUCAAGCUGAGCUUAAUAUGCGCCAACGAAGGUGGCUAGAACUAAUCAAAGAUUACGACCUUGAGGUGCACUAUCACCCAGGCAAGGCAAAUGUAGUAGCUGAUGCCCUUAGUCGUAAGGCUCACUGUAAUUGUUUAACAGUGACGCCUAAAGACUUAACUUUGUGCCAAGAGCUAGAGAACCUGGGAAUAGAAAUGAUUUCCCAAGGAAGCCUUGCCAACCUAAAGAUUGAUUUCAAUCUUGAAGCUCAAAUCAUAGAGGCACAAAAGGAAGACAAAGGCAUGAAAUAUCUUAAAGAGGAAAUUUCUAAUAGAGCACCCACAGACUUUAAGGUGGAUGGUGCAGGAGUAAUCUGGUUCAAGAACCAGUUAGUGGUUCCAAUGGUACCCGAGCUACGUCAACAAAUCCUGGAUGAAGCUCAUACCACGAGGUAUUCUAUUCAUCUAGGAAGCAAUAAGAUGUAUCAGGACCUAAAACAAAGGUUUUGGUGGACAAAAAUGAAGAUAGAAAUAGCUCGCUAUGUGGCCCAUUGCGAUACCUGCCGAAAGGUCAAAGCUAUUCAUCUCAAAUCCGCGGGAGAGUUGCAACCUUUGCCUAUUCUAGCGUGGAAAUGGGAUGACAUAAGUAUGGAUUUCAUAGUAGGAUUGCCCAAGAUGGCCAAAGGCUUUGAUUCAAUUUGGGUCAUAGUGGAUCGUCUCACCAAAACCGCACAGUUCUUGCCUGUAAAGAUAUUAUAUCCUACCUCCACCUAUGCUAAGAUUUAUUUUGAUCGUAUCCUAAGUCUGCAUGGGGUACCAAAGACAAAAGUGUCAGAUAGAGGCACACAAUUUGUCUCCCAAUUCUGGAAAUGUUUACACGAGUCUUUGGGCACCAAACUUUUAUACAGCACAGCCUACCACCCCCAAAUAGGUGGGCAAACAGAGAGGGUAAAUCAGACCCUAGAAGAUCUAUUAAUAUCUUGUGCCCUGAAUUUUCCAGAUAAGUGGGAUGACUGCUUGCCUCUAGCAGAGUUUUCUUACAACAAUAGCUACCAAGAGAGCAUCAAGAUGGCUCCCUUUGAGGCACUAUAUGGCCGUCGAUGUCGAACUCCGUUACACUGGUCGGAACCCAGAGAAAGAUGGUUCUUCGGGGUUGACUUAGUGAAAGAGACUGAGAACAAAGUUAGACAAAUCCAAAAUAACUUGAAAGUUGCUCAGUCCCGACAGAAAAGCUAUGCCGAUAAAAGACGUCAACCAUUAAGGUUCGCUAAAGGUGAUCAUGUGUAUCUAAAAGUAUCUCCAAUGAAAGGAGUAAAUCGUUUUGGUGUUAAAGGCAAGUUAGCACCCUGUUACAUUGGUCCAUUUCCAAUCAUUGACCGAUGUGGGCAGGUAGCUUACCGCCUUAAACUGCCCGAACGAUUAUCCGGGAUACACAAUGUAUUUCAUGUGUCUCAAUUGAAAAAGUGUCUUCGAGUACCAGACCAAGUUCAAGAUAUUGAAGAUGUGGAACUUGAACCGGAUCUAACUUAUUCGUAGUAUCCUAUCUGAGUAUUGGACAAAAGAGAUAGAGUUACUCGAAGAACAACUACCAAGUGGUACAAGGUACAGUGGAACCAACACUCUUAAGAGGCAGCCACAUGGGAAUCUGAAGAUUACCUAAUAGAGAAUUUUCCUGAGUUUCACGCUUCUCUUCAAGGCAACAUUUGAUAAAAUAGGGAGUGUACUCUAGUGAAGGAAAAGAGUAGUCAAAGUCAUGUACCUAGUGUACAUAUAUGUUUAUGAUUGAAUAGUCUUCCCAGCUUCUUGUCUUAUGAAAAGGUUGAAGAUGAAAUAGGUUGACAAAUUUCCUUUUCCAUUACGUACCCUAAGACUUUAAAUCUCGGGGACGAGAUUUCUUUAAGGGGGAAGGGCUGUAACAUCCCCAAUGUUACGGUUACUAAAAAUUUGAAGCAUGACAUCAUCAGCAUUGCACAGCAUAUUUGUUGAGCACACCCUGAUGCAUUAACUUAAAACAAGUUUAAUUUGGUUGAAUGUGCUUAGGGAACUAAAGUGUGUACCCACCUUAUGGAUCUGAGAUGACCGGGAAACAUCUAGAUCGGCUGUAGGAUGGUGGAGUACUAUGCUCUCAGGUGCCGCGAACCUGGUCAAAUUUGGGGAGAACUUGAUUUGGGUUGACAUAUGCAAGAUUUGGUUCUACAUAUGUCGGGUGGUUAGGAACUCCAGCUGGAUUGCUAAGCGAUUCGAAUGGUCGUUGCUCCCCGAUUGGGAGACUCAAUUCCUUUGACCCUCAUCGUAGAUAAUUAUGCAACUAAGUGAUAAAACGAGAAAGGGAAAAUGUCUCAUGAGGUUCGGAUCCCAAUUCCCGAACUCAGAGUGACAUGAAGCUAUGGCCGUUGGAUGUAUAAUACUUUAAUUUAGGACUAGGAACUCACAGACUUGUCUGUGGGAGGCAACUAGAUAGACUGUCUUCGAACUCCUCAGCCUCUUCAGGAGAGGAAUUUGCGGGUAAAACUUGAAAGUAAGGGUGCACUAUUAGUAAGCUUUUUGGCAAAACACUUUGGCUCCUUGCUCAGCCACUCCUUGUCUACCCUAAGCCUGCAUUCCUAAUUUCUCCUCUUUUUCUACCAGGUAAGUCUUGUUGAGUACUCCCGUACUCAGGGUUUCAUAACCCCUGUUGCAGGUGAAGCUCAGGAGCCGACUUGUUUCGGACCCUAUUGUGUGACCGUCGUCGAGGUUGACGACGAAGAAGAGUGAGCGUGACCCAUGGGCAGGGUCUGUAAAUUUGUAAUCUGUGUACUAAAGUUUAAGUUGCUCCGCUGGACCUGGUUUGUAAUAACACUCUGCUAUUUGGAAAACUCCUUUUGUAAAAUAAGUUAUGUCAUACUUCCGCUGUUUUACUCUGAAAUAUUAUUUUGGUCUUGUGUCGUCUGUGAUACUGCAAUGUCUUCGCAACGAAUGAUACUGGUGUUAAGGUGGCCACUUGCUAUCAUGUAAGGGUGAGGAGAAGAAAUUUUCGUUAAUUGACCAUCGCUGGUGGUCAGGACGAGCCUGUUUGAUACGCCCCAGGUAGCGGUGGAAUGAGCGUCCUGAGAUGCUCAUCGGACUUCUAAAGUGGAAGGAUCCCCGGCAUCACCGUCAGAGGUCUUUGGGACAAUGACAGGUGUCGGUGGGCCCAAACACAUAGGGGGUUCUGCCACAAUGGUACUUCCGGAGUAGAAGUAGCAUAUAUGAGUGAACGUGCAAGUGAAAUCUUGAUUUAACCACAUGACAAGCUCCUAAGAGUCUACACAGCUUGACCACACUCAAUGCUCAUAAGCAGUAAAUAGUAAAUGUGUGGCUCAAAGUCUAGCAAGUAUGUAUAUAUGGCUGUGGUAGCAAUUUAAACUCUCAUCAUACAGGAACUCAUCAUGUAAUAUUUUAAAAAUUUUCAAAGAUAAAAUUCUCUAGAAUUCUAGCAUCUCUAGGAACAGAUAAAUAGCAGCUCAACCUUCCCAUAUCAUAUCCGUUAACAACUUAGACUUUAGAUCAAGUUUUCAUCCCACAAGUUUAGGUCUAGAGCAAGCUUUAAAUUAUAACAGUUAUGUCUAAACUUGAGAGAGAACUUAAAAUGUGCAAAUUAGCCAGAGCAACUAUUCAUCAUAUCCAUGCUUGAGUUUUAUUUAGAUACAGAUUAGCAUAGCCACUUUAUUUAUUUAGUAAACACACUAAGCAAAAGAUAUAUAUAAGCACAAGAUCUUUAUUUGGUUUUCCAUAGUUAUGUAUAUUUUAUAAUAUAGUAUAAAUAUAGAUAGAAAUACUUAUCGGGAUAAAUGGGGGUGCUCUCCCCCAAGCUGAAUUUUGACGUAAUUUCUCUUGAUGUAGCUAGCAGGUGGCAGAGGUGUAUUUGAAAGUCAGCAGCAUUCUGACAGCGAUUAGAAUGUCCUCCGUCUGCUAGUCUCUUGAUUCUUAAAUUCUGUGGAGCUCAAAUAGACAACAAAGCUUGUGGAACUGAUUAAGUGUUAGCAUAAAUCUCUAGCCUUUAUCAUGUUAAGUCUCCUUAAUAAUUAUUACUCCCUGUUUUUAUAUUUUCAUUUUUAUAAAGCAGAAAAGAAAUAUUUAUUUUAUUUUUAUGCCACCACAGUGAAUGUACUUAUGGGUUUUAUGCCACUCGUAUACUCACAUGGGGCUUACUGUUUUUCACAUUUUUAUUUUCUUUUUAAGAUAGUAAGAACAUAAGUAACUAAGCAAACUAUUUUAAAUAAUUGAAAGGGAAAGGAUAACUACCAAGUUUACCUCUUGGCAAGGCGUUCGGUGUUUUUAAGUCCUCCGAACGAGACUCUCCAUUUUCUCAAUUGUCCUGGGAUUCGUUGGGUGGCGGAGUCGGUACUUCCGGCAGCGCCUCCCCUUCAUGUAUAGUUAUCUUCUCUUUCCAUACCUGACUCGGUGCUUCGGUCUCCUCUGGAUAAUUCUGUUUAAACUCUACGUCUUCUGACCUUAUCACUUCUCCUUCAUAGUCUGCCCAUCCGUCCUUGAUGAUCUGCCUCCUCUAGUUGCGGUUGCAUCGUUUUCUUACCUACUUAGAUUCUUCAACGAUGUAGUUAGGGUCAGUAAAAUAACGGCGUAACUUCUCUGAGGGGAAGUGCAUAUGGACUUCUCCGGUUCCAAUGUAGAUGAUUGCUUUAACGUUGCUGAGGAACGGUCUUCCAAGGAUGAUGGGUGGAUCGUACUCGUCUUCUCCCAUGUCAAUAACUUGAAAGUCUGUGUAGACAAAAUGAUCGUCUAUUUUGACUGGGACAUCAAUUACUGUUCCAUUAACCUCUCGAAAUGUCUAGUCUGCCAUCUGAAGCUGAAUAUAUGUUGGUCUUAGGGGCAUGGUUCCGAACAAGAGUCGAUAGGUGACUGCGGCCAUUAUGUUGACGCCCGAUCCGGUGUCGCAAGUCGUCUUGUAGAAGUUGUAUCCAUUUAUGGAGCAGUAGAUGCUUGGCAUUCCUGGGUUGUCUUUCUUGGUCAAAAAUGGUGACUUAAGUUGGUGAUCUUGACCGCCAUAAACUACAGUGACCAUCUUAGCUUACUCGGUCCACACUUGCUUGUUCCUGUUCCUCCUGUUGGUCCUCUUCCUUGAUUCACGUCUGGAUUGAUCUAGGAUUUGUGUAGUCUUGUUCUUGAAGAAAAAUGUCUCCUUCCUCCCUUUGAUGUAGAAACUGAUCUUGGCAGCACUGGCGUAGAUGAUGGCUCCCGCGGUGUUUAAGAAUGGCCUCCCUAAGAUGAUGGGUGCUCUCUCAUCUUUACCGGUCUCUACCACUACGAAGUCUGCUGGGGCAUACAAGGUACCAACUCGGACACAAAGGUUCUUCAAUAUUCCUUUUGGAAAACUUAUUGCCUGAUCUACAAACUGCAAACACAUGGUUGUCUCUAAUAAAGGAUAUGUAAAGAAUUUUUCAUAGAGUACCCUAGGUAUAAUGUUGACGCUGGAGCCAAAGUCACAGAGUGCUUCUGGAACGUCCAACAUGCCGAUGGAGAUCGAGAUGACGGGGCGUCCUGGAUUACCUCUCUUGACCGGCAGAAGGUCAGUAGUGAAUUCAGUGAUGGGAUUACUCCAAUUAUUACCUGCAUCAAACAUGUCUACAAGAUUUGCAGAUUCUAAUCCUUCCGGUUGUGAUGGUAUACCGGGGUUAGUAGCAGGAACUGCAACAGCUAUUUGAUUUAACUGAGAUUCAAUCAUUUUAUUAAAGCUAAUUUGAUUCUUGAUGGCAGUAGAGAAAUUAUCCAUUCUAUUAUUUAUAUUUUCUAGCAUUGUAUCAUUAGAUGCCAAUUUCUUAGAUAGGUUAUCCAUUAGCUUUCCUUGAUUAGACACUAACUCUCUCAGAGGUGGAAAAUUAUUAUUAUUGUUGUAAGAAUUGUUACCUUGAUGAUUACCUGAGUAGUUAGGCCUCUGUUGAUUCCAACCUUGAUUUUGUUGAGGACGGUUGUAGUUGUUAUUGUUGAUGUAGUUCACAUCCUCAAGCAUCUCAGGGCAAUGAUUGCCUGAGUGUCCAGUAUCUCCACACUCCUCACAUGUCAUGUGAGAGUCGUAGAUGUGCAUAACUUCCUUCUUAUCUCCAGCUCUAUCAUCGAGCUCCUUCAUGAGCAGGUCUAGCUUUGCAGACAACAUGUCUACCUCCUUGAGCUGAUGCAUACCUCCACCUUUCUUGCGUGUCUGGGUCCUCUCUUUAUUCCAGCCUUGGUUGGACGCCAUCUUCUCCACAAGAGCUGUGGCUUGUGAUAUGGUAAGUGAUAAGAAUGCUCCUCCAGCUGCAGCAUCCAUGGUUUCUCGGGCACUGUUGCUGAGCCCAUGAUAAAACGUCUGCAUCAAUAGCCAACUCUCCAUUCCAUGAUGGGGACAUUCUAGGAUGUAGUCUUGAAAGCGCUCCCAUGCUUCUGGAACAGAUUCAUCAUUUUGUUGCUAAAAACUUGUAAUUUUCCCAUGGAGAGCAUUAGUCUUGCCCAUGGGAAAGAACUUAGCCAGGAAGUUUGUUGAGCAGAGUGCCCACAUAGUAUUCUUCUCCUUUGUAGCGUAGAACCACUGCUUCGCUCUUCCUAACUUUGAGAAUGGGAAGAGGCGAAGUAGUAUAGCAUCUCUGGGGACUCCUGAUAUGGUGAAUGUGUUGCAAAUCUCCAGGAAGUGUUGUAGAUGAGCACUAGCAUCUUCGUGUGCCUUCCCACAGAACUGGUUGGAUUGCACCAUGUUGAUAAGUCCAGGCUUGAGCUCAAAGUUGCCAUCGAUCUCUGCAGCAGGUCCAGUGCGGAUGUUGUCCGUAGUGGGAGCUGAGAACUCACGGAUUGAUUUGUUCGCCAUGGCCUCGAACUCUGAAGACAAGUUCCGGUGAUCUUAUUGAUUGGGUGAAGCUUCUUGCUGAAGUGUUGAUGAUCUCUUCUUGAGCUUGGCUCUAGUCUUCUUGAAUAAUGGUUCAGGAUUGUCAACAAAAUUUCCUGGAAGAUGUCUUCUAUUCAUACAUUCCCCUGCAUCAGAUAAAAUAGAAAAAUAUCGGGGUAAAACUAUAUGAGAGAAUAGAUAAGCUCAAUCAUAUUAGUGAUGCGAAUGAUAACUCAAAAUCCUUUAUUCCAUUCCUGAUUAGUAAUCAACCUUCCCCGGCAACGGCGCCAAAAAUGCUUGUUGGGUAUUCUUAACAUCAUUACCGAAAGUAGACUAAGUUCUCUAAAUCUAGUAACGGUGCCAAAAAUGCCAAACCUAUCCCUCACACCACUUAGGCCAAGUUGUCAUCCCCAGCAUGACAUGAGAGACGCGGUAUUGAAAUAUGCAAUUGCUCUUCUAAAUAAAUAAUGAAUGGGAUCUGCAAGCGCACAGAUUAAUACCGAUGUAGCAUUUUAACCGGGAAGUAUUCCAGGUAUCGAGAGGUUAAAGGUAUAGUAACUGAUGUCCCUAUCAAAAUAGACGAUCAUUUUGUCUACACAGAUUUUCAGGUUAUUGACAUGGGAGAAGACGAAUACGAUCCACCCGUCAUCCUUGGAAGACCGUUCCUCAGCAUCGUUAAAGCAAUCAUCUAUAUUGGAGCUGGAGAAGUCCACAUGCACUUCCCCUCAGAGAAGGUACGCCACUAUUUUACUGACCCUAACUAUAUCGUUGAAGACUCUAAGAAGGUCAAGGCAGAAAAAAGACGACGCAACCGCAACCAGAAGAGGCAAAUCAUCAAGGAUGGAUGGGCAGACUAUGAAGGAGAAGUGAUAAGGUCUGAAGACAUACAGUUUAAACAGAAUUAUCCAGAGGAGACUGUAGCACCAAGUCAGAUAUGGAAAGAGAAGAUAACUAUACAUGAAGAGGAGGCACUGCCGGAAGUACCGACUCCGCCACCCAACGAAUCCCACGACGACUGAGAAAACGGAGAGUCCCGUUCGGAGGACUUAAAAACACUGAACGCCUUGCCAAGAGGUAAACUUGGUAGUUAUCCUUUUCUUUUCAAUUAUUUCAAUUAGUUUGCUUAGUUAAUCAUGUUCAUACUAUUCUAAAAAGAAAAUAAAAAUGUGAAAAACAGUAAGCCCCAUGUGAGUAUACGAGUGGCAUAAACUCCAUAAGUACAUUCACUGUGGUGGCAUAAAAAUAAAAUAAAUAUUUUUUCUGCUUUAUAAAAUGAAAAUAUAAAAAUAGGGAGUAAUAUUUAUUAAAGAGUCUCAAUAUGAUAAAGGCUAGAUAUUUAUGCUAACAUCUAAUCAGUUCCACAAAGCUUUGUUGUCUAUAUGAGCUACACAGAAUUUAAGAAUCCGGAAGACUAGGAGACGGAGGACAUUCUAAUUGCUAUCUGAAUAUUGCCGACUUUCAAAUACACGUCUGCCACCUACUAGCUAUAUCAGAAGAAAUUACAUCAAAAUUCAGCUUGGGGGAGAGCACCCCUAUUUUUCCCGAUAAGUAUUUCUAUCGAUCUUUAUACUACUAUUAUAUUAAAAUAUAUAACUAUAAAAAACCAAAUAAAUAUUUUAUAUAUAUCUUUUGCUUAGUGUGUUUAAUAAAUGAAUAAAGUGGCUGCUAAACUGAAUCUUAAUAAUAAAACUGUAACAUGGAUAUGAUGAAUAGUUGCUCUGCCUAAUUUUCAAAUUUGAGUUUUCUCUCUAGCUUAGACAUAACUGUUAUAAUUUAAAGCUUGCUCUAAACCUAAACUUGUGGGAAGAAAACUUGAUCUGAAGUCUAAAUUGUUAACGGAUAUGAUAUGGGAAGGUUGAGCUGCUGUUUAUCUGUUCCUAGAGAUGCUAGAAUUCUAGAUAAUUUUAUCUUUUAAAAUCUUUAAAAUAUUACAUGAUGAGUUCCUAUACGAUGAGAGUUUAAAUUCCUACCACAGCCAUAUAUACAUGCUUGCUAGACUUUGAGCCACACAUUUACUUUUCACUGCUUAUAAGCAUUGAGUCUGGUCAAGCUGUGUAGACCCUUAGGAGCUUGUCAUGUGGUUAAAAUCAAGAUUCACUUGCACGUUCACUCACACAUGCUACUUCUACUCCGGAAGUACGCAUCCACAUAUAUCCACCCAUUUCCGUCUCCAGAAAUGACCCAAAAACAUUAUACUCCUAAUCCGGGAGAGAAUGGCCAAAAACAUUCGUGUUUUCCCUGUGAAAUAAGUGCUCAAGUUAUCUUGGUUACUACCACUUGCUAUAUUAUUUCAGGAGAUGAGUGCUCUUAAAAAAAAGAGAAAAAAAUACGAGGAAAUAAAAAGGGGCAAGUGCCCAGAACCUCGAAGAAAAGAAAAAGUGAGACGAGAGGUAAAAAUGGACAAGUGUCCGAUAAUAGAAUUAGGGGUACAAGAUACCCACCUGAGAAAAAAAAGAGAAGAAAAUACAGAGCAUCUCAUUCUCCUCAAAAGUUUUAAAAAAGCAAGAAAGGUAUGUAUCCCCUCAAAAGAGCCAAUGUAGAUUUAGACUUUCACCAUUGUUAUCAUCACCAUACACCUUUCAUUCGCCACACAUGCACAUCUUGAUUUGACUUAUUGGCUUGUUUCAUUGGAUCCAUAGUUUGACUAUACAAUAAAUGUCUUGUAAGUAUGUAUAUUUUAUCUCCCACCUAUGAGCUCCAGAUAUUAAAGCCUUAUUAGAGUAGGGUGAGAGAGAAGGCAAUAUCACUAUGCCUUAUACCACAAAUACCACAUAUCUUGAGAGAAGGCAUAUACCAUCACUGCCUUGGUAAGGAUCCAGAAAUACCACAAAAGUGAGAUCUAAGAGAGUUAUACAAGGAAUCUAUAAGUUUUAUUUGAAAAUCUACAAAAACUCCAGAGCUAUAGCUGAUCAAGAAUAAGAGACAUUGCACUUGACUAGACUGUUCUAUCUUUUAACUACUCAAGACAGAUGUGACGGUUACAAGUCCCAUGGUGAAAGGUAAAAUAAGUAAGUCUUGACAGUUUACUCUAACUUAGAGAUGACACCUAAUUUAAAAGCAUGUGUACCGUCAAUUUUUAAACAUAUUGCAACUUAUGAUCCAUCACUGAGUCUAUCCUUGCUCAGGGAUGAGCAAGAGGUAAGCUUGAGGGAGUUUGUUGACGGUCCUUAAGUAUCAAAUUUAAUUAUCAAAUAAACAAAGAAAAGGAUCCAAAUGAAAUCAACAUCCAAACUUAGGGUUUUAUCUGACAGAAUUCCAUGAGUUUUGGUGUUUGUCUAUUUCUGCAGGGGGUUAUCACGAAAUACGGAAGAAAGGCCCACACGUCGGGAUUCAUAGAGAUAUCAACGUGCCGCGCAAUUAUCUUACAUCUAGAAGACUCCAGAAGCCACGGGAAGGAAGCGGAGCCCGAACGGGGCCAGGCACUGGGCGCCCGCCCAGGAGACCAGGGCACCCGCCCCCCUUCAGAGUCCAAUCAGAACUCUCUUUUGGGAUUAAGCUCCACCGACUUAAAGGAUCAAGGAUAACCGUUCAAUCAAUGUCGGUUUGAUCCGACGGCCCAUAUUCACUUGGAGGGACUAUAAAACCAGUCCCCCUAGCCCCUGGAGGAGAGAGCCUCUCAACCCUAAUUCGUUAUUCCUCAAGGGAGAAGAAGCCUCUGAUCAAGCCUAGAGCCACCACAUCAAUUAGACAUCUAGAUUAGCAUAGCUACAUAGGAUUCGAACUAGAAGGAGUCAAUCUUCUAUUGGUUUCCGGAUCUGUCGAGAGGAUUCUUGGUAAUUCUCUAUUGUUCUUCUAAUUGUUCAUCUUUGUUCUUCAAUAUUAUGAAUAUGACUUUGUUCUACUUCAAUAUAUUGCUUAUGACUUUGCUCUACUUGUUUAUAUUCAAGAUUAUAUUGUUCCUAUUUUAUCAUGGUUAUAUACUUCGCUUAGUUAGAUUGGAAUUAUAUAUAUGUUUAGGAUCGUAUAGUGUUUAUCCAUCGGAUCCACGGGUAAAUGAUAGAUAUUGUGUAGGCGUGGUGCUUAUACCGUAUUUAUCUGCGAUUGUACCCAAUAUGCCAGAUCGCGGGGUAGUUCUUGAUAGUGACAGCUUCAUUGAUUCUUAUAUAGUCCCCCUCUCGUGUAUUAGGCUGGCAAAGCAACAUUAUUACAGGGGAGUGAUUGUGAUGUUUCUCAUAUUCCUUGCUAAUAUCACUAUGCAUGGGCGUAAUCUUGUCUUAUAAUGAUUGCUAAGUAUGCUUGCACUAACUACGUUAAUGAUAGACUAUAUAGUUGAGAAUAACUUAAGAAAUAUUCUUUUAAUUCGUUCUAAUACCAUGCUAAUGACUUGCUAGAAUAUGUAAUUGAGGUGCUUAUCAUAUUUAAAAUGUGGCUAAGUUAUGCUAAUCAGAUUAAUUAUCUUUGUCACUAUUCAUUACUUUAUAUAUCCUUUAUGUGACACUUAUCCCUGUAUGAAAGAGUUAGAUAAAUGUUCUCAAUUAUACAUGCAAUGAUAGAUACUCAAUCUUAUAUUCCAUUCUAUAAUCAACAUUGAUGAUUACUAAUCCCUUCCUAGUGGUAAAAAUAUAAAUAACGAUACCUGGAAUACUUCCCGGUUAAAAUGCUACAUCGGUAUUAAUCUGUGCGCUUGUAGAUCCCAUUCAUUAUUUAUUUAGAUGAGCAAUUGCAUAUUUCAAUACUGCAUCUCUCAUGUCAUGCUUGGGAUGACAACUUGGCUUAAGUGGUAUGAGGGAUAGGUUUGGCAUUUUUGGCGCCGUUAUCAGAAUUAGAGAACUAAGUCUACUUUUGGUAAUGACGUUAAGAAUACCCAACAGUGAUAACAAUGGUGAAAGUCUAAUUCUACUUUUGCUCUUUUGAGGAGAUACAUACCUUUCUUGUACUUCAAGCUUUUUGAGGGGAAUGAGAUGCUCUAUAUUUUCUUUUUCUUUUCUCUCAGGUGGGUAUCUUGUACCCCUAAUUGUACUGUCGGACACUUGUCCAUUUUUACCUCUCGUCUCACUUUUUCUUUUCUUCGAGGUUCCGGACACUUGCCCCUUUUUAUUUCCUUGUAUUUUUUUCCAGAGCACUCACCCUCCUAGAAUAAUGUAGCAAGUGGUAGUAACCAAAAUAUCUCGAGCAUUUAUUUCACGGGGAAUAAUAGGGAUAGGAUAAUGUUUAUGGCUAUUCUCUCCCGAAUAGGAGUAGAAUCAUUUUAGGUGAAUCUGGAGAUGGAAAUGAGUGGAUGUAUGUGGAUGCGUACUUCCAGAGUAGAAGUAGCAUGUAUGCGUGAACGUGCAAGUGAAUCUUGAUUUUAACCGCAUGACAAGUUCCUAAGGGUCUACAUAACUUGACCACACUCAAUGCUCAUAAGUAGUAAAAAGUAAAUGUACGGUUCAUAGUCUAAUAAGCAUGUAUAUGUGGCUGUGGUAGGAUUUUAAACUCUCAUCAUACAGGAACUCAUCAUGCAACAUUUUAAAGAUUUUAAAAGAUAAAAUUCUCCAGAAUUCUAGCAUCUCUAGGAAC